Molecule: long non-coding RNA, 86546 nt
Filed under: Citrus sinensis (sweet orange)
Lineage: Eukaryota; Viridiplantae; Streptophyta; Magnoliopsida; Sapindales; Rutaceae
Description: long non-coding RNA (CSIN_LNC004747)
Source: RNAcentral
GUGGGCCAAGUGAUAUUUAAUUCAACCAAUCUUAUCAUGCCACAUCAAUUUGUACAAAAUAAGUUUGUACAAGAGUUUGUGACUGUAUCAUUACUCAAUAAUUAAUACCAUUACCAUCCAACACUGCAGGAUAUAUAUAUACAUAACAGAUUUACGGCUGCACUGGAACUUGAUUGUAAAGAUUCAUUUGGGAUGACUGAUUUAGAUUCGCUGCUAAGUUAUUUCACGUGGGAGAAUUAAUUAAUGGGUCCUCGAAAUAAAUAAUUGUCAAUAAGAUUUUUCUAUAAUGAUGUAUGUACUUUUACAGCAUUAAUAGUGCAGUUAUUAUAAACCCUUUGAUUUGAGUGAUUUAAUCUUAGUCAUUCAUUUAAUAUAAUAAAUAAAUAAGUAAUUAAUUAAAAGCUAGCAAGUAACUUGUAAGUUGUAGGUAAAUAUUAAUUUUUUUAAUUUUAAAUUAAUAUUAACUUUAUAGCAUUUAAUAUAAGUUAUCAGACGAGAUGCAUGUAAUCCAAGUUGAUCAUCGAGUUCAUGAUCAUGACCCUGCUGCUUGGUCAAUUGAGAUCUUUCCGACAGUACCACAUGAAAAUUCAUUUUGUCGAGGAGCUGCUGAAGUUGUACAGGAAGAAACAGAAUCCAAUCUCUCUAGCCUGACCGGUACAUUUCUCCAGGUCGCCGCCCACCAGGGUCUGGCCGCGUUGGCAGUCGAAUUUGGCGGUGGCAUUCUCUGCUGGAGAACGGGAAAAUUCUCUUGUGCUCCGUGGAACUCUGUAGUGCAGCUGGAUUCAUUGCCUGCUGUGGUGGUUAUAUCUUAGAACGUAGAGGCAAAGCUAAAUUGGCUUGCUCAGAUUAUGACAGGAGUAGGAGGUGUUGCCACUGCCAGUAGAUUUAUAAAUGGUAUGAAAAAAACUACAUUAAUAAGUGUGCAAGAUCAUGUGAGAAGGAACUCGUCGAGCUGGAGAUGAUCAAAUCAAGGAAGGCAUUGAAGGGCGAGGCAGAGAGAAGGAGAACAAAAUCAGAGGCUGAGAUGACUCAGAUGACGAUGCAAACUCAAUUGCAGAUCGUCCUUUGUUGAGGGGAUGAAUUCGAGUCGAAAGAGAAAGCGCGAUGAAGAAGAUGAAUCACGAGUUUCUCAGAGGUAAAAUUCUUGAACAUGUCAAUGGUUAAUCAUUCAGGAACUUGAGACACUCUUCAAGAAUCCAAUUUCCUUCAAGAACAUGAGAGAAAAAACCGAUAGUUAAAUUUAUGAGAUAAAUAAAGAGAUUGUAUUUUAUCAAAAUUUAAUUUCUUUUUUUUAAUCUAAAACAACAUUUUCAACCGGUUUGUUAACCGAUUAUAGCAUUUUUUAAAUGAUUAAAUUUUUCAUUAAUAAAAAUAAUGUGUACCGUUGAUUAGAUUUAAUGACAUAUAAUUCUUACACUAUUGAUAUUGUAAAAAAAAUUACGGUAUCAUAGAGAGACCCCAAUAGGAAGACAAGCAAAGUAAUAAUAAAUAAUUGCACGGCCGCGAUUUGCUAAUUGCUCUCACAUCAGAAAUUUGGCAUUUCAGAAGAGAGAUUAGUCCAUUCGGUAAUUAUUCACUUUUGAUGUGCAUGUCGUUGAUUAUGCAGUUAAUUUUAGUUCAGAGAUAGCUGCAUAUAUAGAUAUCUUGGAGAGUUUGACAUUGAAAGUAAAAUUUUUAUAUAAUAAUAUUGUUUGGAAUAAAAAAAUAUUAUUUUAAUAAAAUUAUUUAUAUAUUAAUGAAUGAACAAUUUAUUAAUUUAUUGAUAAAUGAAUAUCUAUUAAUUUAGAAAGAGACUUUUUUAAUUUUAAAAGAGUUUUAUCGGUACAUGUAAAUACUUAUUUACAAAAGAACACAAUAUCAAGGUAUUAUGAAGUUUUAUUAAAUUAUUUUGUCAUUUUUAGUUUCAAAUCAUUAGAAUUUUCAUAUCUUUUCUUCUUCAUGGAUUCUCAUUUUAAAAUGAGUAAAAAGAUCUGCAUUGGCUGAAAAAAAAAAUUACUAAGUGUGGUGCAUGCUCAGCAUAAAAUUAAGAAUGAGGUUGAAUUCAAUUUAGAAAAUAAAUAAAAAAUUAAAACUUUAGAUGCCUAUUUUAUGAAGAGUUGAAUUCAGAUAAUUGAAGUUGUAAGAAAAAACUCCUUUAUCUUAUAAAUUUUAGAUUUUGUUCAUUAUUAACUUUGUAUUAAGUUCAUAAUUAUUAGAUAAUAUUUUCAUUGGGCACUACCGGCCUAACAACUUAAAAAAUGGAUCAAAAAAUUAUUAUCUUUUGCCUUUUGUGAAAUUAUUAAUUUCGUACACUAGCCCAAGAUGGGACCAGAGAAUUUUUAUUUUUUAAUCUAGAAUAUUAAUUUAUUGCACAUUUAUUUAUUGAGGUUUUACCUAUAAAGCUUCAAAAAAUAACAUAAUUGAGAAUUAGAAAACAAUAUUAUUUUAGCCUAGUUAUUUAUUUAUCAAUAAAUGAAUAAUUUAUUAAUUUAUCAACAAAUAAAUAUUUAUUAAUUUGGAAAAGAUUCCAUAUUUUAAUUACUUUGUCAUCUUGGUACGUGUAUUGUCUCUUUGACCAAGAUUAAUGUAUGAAUUUAAAAAAUUAUAUAUAAACAUGUAGAUAGAAGUCCAAUUGAUGUAAGUAGAUUAUACAUAGAUAUAAAAUUGAUGUAUGUACUUUUCAAAUUUAAUAACCUUGAAGAUAAAAUAUUUUAGGUGCUCAAAACCUAUAGAAUAUGAACUCUAUAAAUACAACGGACACUUUUUUUAUUUUUUUUAAAUAACACUAUUUUUAUUUUUAGUCUCAAAUAAUUAGAUGCAUAUAUAUUUUGGAAAAUAGUUGAAUUGAGAAAAUUGAAGUUAUCAAAAAAAUUAUUAAUAUUAUGAAUUUUAUAUGUUAUUUAUUAUUUGUAUUUUUGUAUUUGAUUAAUUAUUAAUUUAUAUUUUCGUUGGGCAUAAAGGAUUCAAAAAUAAAUUAUUGUCUUAUACAUUUAGUGAAAUUAUUAAUUUAGUAUAUUUGUCAAGUUGAGACUGGAAGAUUUUAUUACUUAUUAAAGGUUAUUAAUUUAUCGAAAAAUCAAUUAUCAAGAUUUUACGGUAUUCAAAAUAUAAAUAAAUAAAUAGUAAUGAAAGCUAUAAUUCAAUUUUCAUCUUUUAUGCUAAUUGAAAAUUUAGUCUUUUGAGUUUUGAUUAUUUUUACCUGUAAUUAUAAGAAUCAUUCUUUGUUUUCUUGCUGAUUUUUUUGGAUUUUUUAAUAUUAUAAAAACAUAGCUUUAUUCCCAUCUAAAUUCAUAUACAUACUCAUUGAUAAAGUUUUAGGCCAAUUUGAAAUUGUUGUAGCUGAUAAAAUAAGCAAUAUUUAUUGUGCUGAUGAAUAUAAACCAUAUUUAGAAUAAUUUUUGGGAUUAAAAAAAAUUAAGAAAGAAUUUUAAGAACAUAAAAAAUCCUAGUGUUUAUACGAUAUAAUAAACAUAUCUUCUCAAUUAUAAUAGAUAAUAAUUGAAUUAAUAAUUGUUUAUUUAUCAUUUUUAGUUAUUUCACGUAAGGAUAAUACUGUAAUUACAAAAUAACUUAAACAAGUGGUAUGUUUUUUUAUGCAAAAGCUGGGGGGAAUAUUCGUCAUAUUUAAAAAAUUUAUUACAAAAUUUAUGCAGUCAUACACGAGUGGUAUAAUUACACGUCAGCAUUGAGGUGGAAGAACUGAUACUUUUGGAGGAGAAGAUAGGAAAGUGGGAUUUGGACUGGGAACGUUCGGAAAAAUGGAAGGAGGCUUUGGGUUGGCAUUCAACUCCGUACUACAAGUCGCUCGUUUACGCUUACCAUCAAACGACAAGUCGUUUUGCUUUCCCCUUCCCCGGGCUCGAAUCAACACAGAGCUGAAAGAACUCAGAGUUUGCACGAACCGCACUUGUCGCAGGCAGGGCUCCAUGCAAAUUCUUGAAACCCUGUCGUCUCUGGCCCCGCCGGAAGUCGCUGUCAAGUCGUGCGGCUGCUUGGGCCGGUGCGGCGCCGGACCGAACCUCGUGGCGCUUCCCGACGGCGUCGUGGUCGGCCACUGUGGGACCCCGGCGAGAGCCUCUGAGAUAUUGAUGGUAUUGUGUGGAAUAAAGAGUGAUCAUGAUGCUGCAAAGAAUCUGGAAGCGCUUGCGUUGAGGAAGAGAGCCGAGGCUGAAUUUGAAAAGGCUAAUUUUUCGGAAGCCGACCGCUUUCUCUCUCAGGUAACGUGUGCCCAAUGGGCCGCAAUCAGACGAAAUAAUAACAUUAUGUAGGCUGUAGCAAAAUUUUAAAAAGUAUAGGGGGCUCAGGUAAAAUAAUCGUUGACAUAGUCGUGUUAUUUUUACAUGAAUCGCUUGCUCUCUCAAAUGUUCAAAUCUACGGAUGCCAUGCUUGCCAAUUGCUGCUGCAGGCCAUAGAGUUAAAACCAUUUGGUGGCAUCCAUGUUUUAUAUAAAGACAGGUUUGUACAACUUAAUUUUUUUCAUCAAUGGAAGUCUUCUUACAGUACUUAUGGGAAAUUUUUGAUUUUAUGGCCACAGAUGAUGUGAGUCGAUUUUACUUUUUAGAUAAACUGGGGUGAUGUAAUGUUUAGAUAAAAUGGUAUCUGCUGUAGGCUUGUUUAGAUGACAGAAAUUAUGGCAUCAAAGCCUGUACAUAUCUAGCUAACUCAUGAGUUCCUAAGUCCCCUUUUUUAUAUUCCACUUGUUAUGCUUAUUCUUCUCUUACGCAGCUUGCGUUUUAUAUAGCUUCAUAUGCAUAUUUGGUUCAUUGAAUAAUGGCAUUCGCUUUUCGAGUCGUUUUAUCUGAAUUUUUAAUGGUUUCAGAAAUUUGCUUGGCUGAACCUUUCUUCUUUUGAUUGGUCAAAUCCCAUAUAACUGGGGAUUUUUGUUUUAUGAAGCAUUUUUUGACAUCAAUGACUGCAGAUGAUAUAUUUGAUUUACCCUUGUGUAAACCUCAGUUCUUGAUUUUGCAGAUUUGCUAGUUUAAGUUCCAAUAGAAAUGCUUAAUCUGGACAGAUGAGAUGAUUUUUUCGAAGCUGAUCCCAGCUGUAGCUAAAGACCUGAUCAACCAUCAUAGUCUUAAACUUGAUUAGUUGUUGCCUCUAACCCAUAACUUGUUUUGGGGUAAGAGAAUGCUGAGUUUUAAUUUUAAUUUUUCCAAGCUUCUUCAUUAGAUUGCCAAUACUUUCUCCCUUAUAUCAUUUGAUGUUGAGUUCAAGAUGAAGCGGGUAGAAAUUAAUUUGCUUGUCAAUGAUAUGAUGACUUUUGUUAAAGGAUAUUCACCAACUUUUCUGGCACAUCUCAUUGCGUUUUACAAGAUAAUUAUCACGAAAUGUGGGUUUCUAGAGCUCCCUUGUUUGGUAUAAACAGAAGAAAUAGCUGCUGGGUACAGACUUUAUCUCUCUUUUCCUUGCCUCCUGCAAUUACAUUGACCCUGGGAGACGUUCAAGUAUUCAAAGGCUUCAAAGUACCCCAGACCUUUUUCCCUAGAGAUGUUUCUUACAAAUCGAACUUAUAUUUGCAUGAGAGUUAACCAAUCAAAAUCAGAAAUAUUCAGCCAAAGCCAAUUUCUAGAACCACAAAUAGCAUUAGCAAAAAAAUUUUGUUUGUUUUCUUUUGUGCAUUUCUUUUUAUUUUGUGCAUAUACAUGUCAUGUUGAGGAAAUGAUGACUUUUGAGAGACGAUGUUAGGAAAUUCAAACUAAGUAACAUCUGGAUUCAAUGUGGCUUCAAGUUCGGGCUAUUUCCUUUGAAGCAUUUGACUUUCCCAAUCAUGGUGUUGGAACCUUUCCCUGCUUGUCCUUGACAGAAAAAAGCCACCCAAAAGCUUAAUUUGUUAGGUAGAAUAGCACAUUUGGUUUAGUGCACGAGGUUAAAAUAUUGCAAUUGAUAUAUUUCAUUAACUAUAGUCUUCCUUUUGUAUUAAUAUCAGCAAUUGGCUUUAAUGACAUUUAUUUUCUGUAAAUGUUACCACAACGUACUCUUCAAUUAAUGGGGUUUGCUAUGAUAGAAAAGUUUUAAGGACCUUCUUUCCAUUCAGGUGUCUUGCAAGAUUGACCAUGGGCAAUUUUUCUGCUGCUCUUGAAGAUGUCAGAGAAGCCCUUGAAUUAGCGCCAAACUACACUGAGGUGAGAAACCUUCUUACUCUAAAAGUUGGAGAAGACACUUGCACCUCAUAUACCAUAUUACUGCAGGCAUGCAAGAACAUAACAUCUAAUGGAUCUCAUUAUGUAUCUUGGUGAUAUGUUUACUGAUUUGAGCUUUGCAGGCUUACAUCUGCCAAGGUGAUGUGUUUUUGGCUAUGGACCAAUAUGAUGCAGCUGAAAAGUCAUAUUCCACAUGUUUACAAAUAGAUCCUUCUAUCCGUCGAUCCAAAUCAUUCAAGGUAUCUUCCACUUACUAAAGAAUAAAUUUGUGUGGUAAAUAUGGAUAGUUUAUGCUCUACUAUCAACUUGUACAUUAAUCUUGGACAUAAAUGCAAAUGCAAGUGUUCUAAUGCAAGUAUUGUGCUGGAGUUUGCUAUGCUAGUAAGGGAAAUCCUUGCAUAAUUGCAACCCUCGGGCUUCAGCUCAAGUGAUUUAAAAGGGUGCCAAUGGUGUAUAAAACAUCUUCAAGUUGAAUCUCGCCUAUGUGAAAAAAAGUAAUAUCAUAAUUUAUGUGAGUUGCCUAAAUGAAAUGUGUAACUUUAAUUCGAAAUUGAUUGUUACUGUUUCUAUGGAAGUCAAUUCAGUCAAAGACUUAAACAAUUUGGCCCUCCUCUCUCUCUCUCUCUCUCUCUCUCGCCCUUUUCUGUUUCUCCUUUUUAAAGUGAUAAUUUCUUUUCUUUUUUUUGUGCAGACACGGAUUGGAAGACUCCAAGAAAAACAGACUGCUGCAAAUAAGCCUUAAAAUGUGCUGCAAGAUUGUUGGAAUGUGUACAUGAUAUUUCUAUUAUUUCCAGGUUUUGUCCUUUCUAUCGUAACCUAUUCUUCAGUUCUUAAUUGAGCACCUUAUUUUACAUGGCAACUGUAAUACUUAACUUGAAUAUAGGGGUUUAAGGAUGGUAUCACAGCAAAUAGUUUGCACUCUUGUCAUUACUUAUUUGAUCCUUUAGUUUCUUUUAUUUAUUAUUAUUAUUUUUUUAACCCACAUUUAUUUUCAAGCUAGUUUGGCAAACUUCUUUUCCUUAUCUUGCUAUUGACAUUGUGCAGUUAAGGUUAACCCAUGCCUACGUUUAUCCUAAUCACGGGAAGAUAAACCUAGCGAAAGCAGCGAGUUCUUUACAGAGGCUCAUUGAGGUCUUGCUGUCGUUGAUUUCUGUUUUGCUUUUGUCAAGUAAACCAUACCCAGUUCAUGAACGUGAGCAGCAUUUUAGUACAAAGAUAUCUAGUUUGUGCAGAUUUGUUCCUUUCUUGCUUAAAAAACCAUGAAGGAGGCAACAUUCAUGGGUAUUUUAAAAAUAUAAAAAAAAUUGAGGUAUGAUGGAGAGACAGUAUUGACGCACUACUGUAAUGAACUGGGAUAAUUUGGAUUUUGCCUUUUUGAUAAUGAAAUCUAGAAUAUUGUUGGAUUUAGUUUUGUAUUUAUACGUUUUCUUGCUUCUUGGCUUGGCUGUCAUGUGUGUAUUUUGGGAUUUAGUUUGUACUUUGCAUUAUCCUUCUUUUUGGCUUGGUUGUCAUGUGUGGUAUCCUUGAUGGCAGGUCUAAAAAAUUAUACUUAAAACAUGUAUCACUUUAGAUUUAGUCUGUGCAGAUUUAUUCCUUUCCUGCUUACAAAACCAUGGAGCAGGCAACAUUCAUGGGUAUUUUUUAAAAAUAAAAAAUUGAGGUAGGUGGUGCAUCUAUGAUGGUAUGAUGGUAUUUAGGCACUACUAUAAUGCACUGGAUAAUUUGGAUUUUGCUUUCUUGAUAAUGGAAUCUAGACUAUUUUGGGAUUCCGUUUGUAUUUGUAUAUUUUCUUGCUUCUUGGCUUGGUUGUCGUGUGUGGUAUCCUUGAUGACAGGUCUAAAAGGUUAUACUUAAACAUAUAUCACUUUUGUAACCAGAGACAGAGUAAAGUAGUCAUAUAGGCAAUAAGAAAAUGUAAAAGACUACAAUGUUAUUAAUUGAUUACAUGACUGAUGAACUAGCAUAAGACUUAUCAGUAGUACAUGGAAAACAAAUAUAUAAAGACUGAACAAUGAUAAUAUAAUCACCAAAUAGCGACACUCAUACCUUCCUGUUUUAGCUUUAACAGCUUUCUUAUUUUUCUAUGAUGGACAUCUAGACAGCAUUUUGCUUUAUUCAUGCAGUAAUCCAGGCACUAUUUUCUUCUUUAUAUAUCUAAGGAGCUACAUUGAUGCUCAGCUUCUGGCCAUUUUCACAGUGAUCACCUACUCCACAAAUGUACCAACUUCGGCCAACCUCUGAUAAAACCACUGAGUCACUGCCACUAGCAAACAGACUUAUGUAUGGAUCUUUUAUGCAAUCUUCAUAUGCAGUUGAAUUCACUUGCAUCACACUGUGCACAUGUUCUUCAUAGUUGAACACUGUCCAAAAACAACAACGAAAAUUAGUGCUGGCAAUCUUCAUUAGGAAAUCAAAAACUGGGAGCAUGAAAGUUGGUACUGUACAUAUGUGAUUCAUUUAUGUUUGUUUGUAUGUACUCCAUUAGAUACAUACUUACCAAGAACAUCACCAACGUGAAAUUCUUUUCUCUGAGUCCAGUUGUUGGAGUCAACGAAGAGAGACCAGCCAUCCCUGUCUCCAACAAUGUGGGUUGCUCCUCUUACUUGAAGCAUGUUAAGGAAUGCAGCAAGAACAAGGCAGAGCAUGAUCAUUUUGGAAUUUUGGUAAGCUUGGAAAAGCAUAUCCUUCCCUUAAACUGAGAUAUGUUGUUAUGGAUCUGUAAAUGGUUAUCUUUACAAUAAUAUUCGUAACAUGGGUGGGCAGGCUCACAAUAUUCUGGUGUUUAUCUGAUUAGGUAGUCAUGUAAAGUAUGUUAGCUAGUUUUCUCAUAUCACGAUAAUUGGCAGUAUACACAGCUUCAGUUCCUGAUGUUCAACAACAAUCCAUUUGGGCAACAUAAGGAAAGCUGUUUACCUUCUUAAAAAUUUGGCUGCUUUUGAUGUUGCGAACGAUUUAUAUACAUACUCUUUUUGGUAAGGGCACGUCGCCAGUCUUAUGGGGCGUAAGAGUUGUAUGGGAUGCUCAUGUUUUUCCAAAAUCACGAACUUUUAACUCUUUGUACAAAGAGUGUGUGUGUAAUCACUCUUAGGUGCGGGGCACACUUAUUUUUCUUAAUGUGGACACGCGGUUAAGGAUUGCAACUUAAUAGAGUUAAUUUCUGAUAUAUUAUAAAAUCGUGCAGUUUACUAGCACCAAAAAUUGAUUCUAUUAAACUAUAUGGCUUAUCAAUUUGUCCACAUAAAAAAAAAAAAAUGACGCACCCGCACUAAAUAAGGAUUGUAUAUAUAUUUGAGGCAAUAUGCAUCUCUCUAUUUAAAUAAAUUUAUUAAAUUGUCAUAUUCUAGCAACCUUCCUUGGUGAGCAUUGUGCAAAUUUUGUACUUCACAACUGAGAAACCUUGUUAAUUGUAUCAUUUUAAGGAUAUUAACCCAAAAUCUUCGCUAAAAUUGAUUCUUACUAGAUUUAGCUUUAUAUCUAAAGAUAUGAAUUAUUUGUUAAAAAAAGUUUGUUUCUUUGUUGAUGGCUAUGCUGUUCAAGAAUGCAACUUGUCAGAAUUUUAUGAAAAUUAAAUUUUCAUCUGUUCUCUUUUUUUUUUUUCUUGUAAAACAAAUGCUUCAAAUCAUAAAUUGUGGUCAAUUAUGCAAAUUGCAAAGCAUUUGUUACAUAACUUGCGAAGUAAUCUUAUUCUGAGAUCAAUUAUGUGGUCAGGAAUUAUUAGAGGUUGAAUAAAUUAGUUUUUUAAUACAAAGUCAAAUUUAACCAGAGAUAUUUUGAAAUUCUAUUGAUAAUGUCAUUCUAAAGGAAGUGUUAAAAAGUCGCUAAAAAUAAAUGUUGAAGUUGUAAUACUUGUUUGGUAUCGUUUAUUUAAUGGUAAAAAAUUCAAACUUUGAGCUUUAGAAGUAAAGAUUGAAAAGUUUUUUUUAAAUAUUAAAGUAUUUAUUAGUAAAUUUUUUUGAGUGAAAUUUUUGAAGGUUAAAUAAUUUAUUUUUCAUCUACUAGCAAAGUUUAAACUUUGGAAUUUUAGAAAUACAGGUUGAAAAGUUUUUUUAAAAUAUUAAAGUAUUUAAAAUAUAUUUUAUUUAUUUGACAAUCUUUUUUCAUUUCUUUCAUAACAUAACUUUAAUAAAUUUGUUUAUUAAAAUAAUUUUACAAUUUUUUAUAAAAACUCUCAUUAAUAACUAAACAAAUAAAAUCUUUUUGGUGAAAGCUCUAUUUUUAAAAAUUUACUUUGAUAAACUCUAUUUAAAAAACUAUUACCAAGCGAAACUUAUAUAUUAUUUCAAUUUCAAGAUUUAUUAACAAACUACAAUAAUAAAUCUUAUAAAUUAAACUAAUUGAUUGGCAUUGACUAAUCACGACCAUUUUGCAAUUCUUAACAUGGCACAAAAGAUAUGCAUGCUUAAACUUUUAGCAAAAGGUACUUCAAUUUCAUGUCUUAAUUGGCUUAAUAUUCGAGUCCCAAGAAAAAAUAAAAUAAAAAUAGAGGACUCGAAUUAAACUUGCAUCUCAAAAACAACAUUCGUGCUUACAAUGAUGAUAAAAAACAUCGAAUACUAUUAUAAAGCACAUGAUAAUUAUUAAUUAGUGACUCUUCAUUUGAAUACAAAUUUUUAUAUUUCAAUUUUGUAAGCAUAGAAUUACUCUUCCAUUUAUUAUUAAUUUUUCCUCAAAAAUUAUUUGUUGAUAUCUCUUGAUUUAGGUUUAAGUAAACGAAGGCAAAAUAAGUUCCACCUGUUUAAGAGUCUGUCUGAUAUGUUGUAGAAUGUAACAAUUACAUAUAGACACUAGACAAGUAUUAUAUACAAGUCAUAUACUAUUGCAUAUUUAUAUUUUAUAUUAUAAAUGAGGAGAAAAUCUUUGGAUCCAAGUAUUACACGCAUUUGAAUAAAAUUUGAUGUUUAGAAUUACUCUCUUUCAUAAUUUAAUGGUGUUUCAUGCAAUAUCUCUUGUGUUCUACCAUUACCUCCCCAUUAUAGAAUUAAGAUUUUCUACUAAUCUUCAUUAGCUUUGUUGAAUCUCUUCACUUUUGUAAGUUAGUCAUCAUGCAUAGUCAAGAUUUAUUCUUCAACGAUGAUAGUAGCAUUUUAUUCUAUUUUUUUUGUUAUUCCUUUUUUAUGAUCUUUAUAUAGCAUCAAGAGUGACAAGAAAUUAUGUUUCCACAUAUUUAUCUUCAUUAAUGGAAAAUAAACAAAAUACUCCAAAUACAAAUUAAGCACUUACUAAAUGAGAAAGAUAAAAGUCACUAGCAACUAGCAUCUUAACUAAUAUCAUUAGCCCUAGUUUAGUUUUGGCGCAUGCAAUAAUAUGAUAAUAUAAUCAACUACAACUUGGAAGCCCACAAUUGAAAAAAUCUGCCUUCUUCACUCUUUCCCACCAAUUUGAUGAUCCCUUUUUCUUCUUCAACUUAAUUUUCUCAAAAGAUUGAAAGCAGCUUUCCAAAGUGACUUGGGCACUCUUCUCCUUCACAUAGCUGCUGCUGCUGCUGGUGCUGUUGCUGUUGCUCCAGCUGUUCUCAUAUUCUUUCACUUGUUGCUCUCUGUUCACAAGCAUCUGAUAGUACUCUUUAUUCCUCUUUUCCAGCCCAUAUAUUUGUUCCUGAAGAUCCUCUAUUUUCUGGCUAAGUAUGCAAACCCUAUAAUCUUCUCUCAUUCUCAACACACAUUUAGCAAGCUCACUAGCUUUUCUUCUCAUAAACAUGGCUUCAGAUGCCAGCCCUUUGUUCUCUUCCAUUACUGCACUCACUUGAUAUCCCAGCUUCACGUUCUCAUUCACCAAAAUCAUCCUCUCCGAUUCUAACAACUCCAUCAAACUCUUCAACAACUCUAUCUUCCUCCUUGAUUCAUUACACACGUGAUCCAUCUCAUUCACUUGGUUCACUAAUAUUUCAGACUCAACAUUCUUCGCCACAAGUUCAGCAACUAGGUCAUCAAUGUUAGCUGAAGCAGCAGCAGCAGCCAUUGUUGCUGUUGUUGUUGUUGUUGUUGUUAUUUGUUGUUGCUGGUAAGAGAUUGUGCUUUCAGCGUCGGAUUCAGCAUCAGCAGAGGAAGAAGCUGUGAUGAUGGUUUCGGAAGAGCCAUUGCGAAAAUGGUGCUUCUUGUGAUUGCGGCAACGAUCCAACAAGGUGAUGUAGCCAUUGUACAAGUCUUUGAGAAGAGCAAGAAGCUGAGGGCGUUUCUGAUAGUACCAUUCAGCGCGUUCCGCAAAGGUGUCGCCCACAUUUUCUUCCUCAGAACUGCCGCUUAUUACCAACUUUUUCAUUCUCUCUUCAACAUCUGCAAAAACUACCAAUUUGUUUAAUUACAAAUGCAUCAUCAAUAAUCACGAGCAAUUCCAUAAGCAAUUAUUCAAAAUGCCCUUUUGGCUGUUAAAACAACGAUUUGAGAGCGCGAUGAUGAUGUUAAUAAAAUGUUGGGAAGCAAGUAAAGUAUGUCAUUGAUAUGGAGGUACUAAAAAAUUUACCCUUUCAUCACAAAAUGACAAAACUAGGUUGCAUUGUAAUGCAACAUAAUGCAGCAGUUGCCGCAUUAUACAAACCCGACAGGGAGUCUGAUUUGUCUAAUUAGCUUUUCUGUUUUUUUUGUUCUUUUUUAAUAUUAUAACAAAUAAAAAUAAAUUUAUAACUUAAUGUUAUAUUAUCUAACAAUACUAUUUUUUAUUUUCAUUAUUUUUACAUUAUAGUAAUUAAUAUAUAUUAAUAAAUUUAUAUAUUUUGUUAUUUUAUAUUAAUUAUAUAAAAAUAAAGAUAUAUAAGUUAAUAUUAACAUUAUUUAAAUACAUUACAUUGUAUAAUAAUAAUUAAUAUGUAAAAUAAUCAGUUAUAUAAAAUUAACUAUUAUUAUAUAAUUUAAUAUAACUAAUAAUAUGUACUUAAAUAUUAAUAAAUUUAAAAUAAUAUUAGUUUAUAAUUAAUAGUAUUAUAAAAUAAUGAUAUAAAAUAUUAUUACAUAUAAUACAAUCCAUAUUAUAGCAAACAUAAUAUUUUUAUAAUUUAAUAAAUCUUAAUGCAAUAUACAAUAAUAAAAUAGGUUUGGCUACGUUAGAGUUGCUCUAAGGUAGAGCACCUCUUCAUAACCAUACAAUUAAAGUUAUAUAUAAUUAAAAUUCGUAAUCCACUGUAAAUCACUCUAACAUAACCAUAGCCUAAUAAAAUAUAUUCUAUAACGAUUAAAAUCCAUCGCAACAUAUUUAAGAGUAAUGCUAACGACAGAGAAAAAUAAAAAAAAAAUUACUCUCUUUUUCUUUACCUAACCCACUCUCUCUCUUCCUUUUCAACACAUUUUUUUUCUGAUCUUUCUCUCUAUUCAGCAUUUUUCAAGAAUCAGAAAAGGUUUGUAAGGUCUGCAUCAAGGAAUCCAGGCCCCACAUUGACCAUUAGGUUUAUAACGCAAGUUAUGAACACUUGAACAGUGCCAUAGCGGCAAGUGUUUGGCACGCCAACUAGAUGGCGCGUAAGGCUGAUAUGAUGAGGUUAAAAGGCUAUGGAAAAUUGUGCAGAGAACAGUGAGAAUAGAAAGGUCGCUCACUGCAACAAGCCAAAGAAAGAAGCUGGCUGAUGUUGACUCCUCAUUACUGAAAAGAGGGAAACUUCACACUCGUUCAAAUUUUAAACAUUAAAAACGAUAUUCUCAAUUUUUUUGUAAUUCAAAAAAAAAAUUCAUCACUUACAUAAAUGCACACUACUAGCUAGCCUCAGUCAAAGCUAUUUUUGACUUUAUCACUAUUUUAUAUUUAUUUCUACUCUCACUAAUUUUCAACUUUUGCAUCCAUUAAUUUAUAUUUUUAUUCUAUAUGUGAAGGCAUGCAAAAAAAUUAAUUAUUAAAGUCUCAUUUAAAAUUAAAGUUGGAUAAUUAUAAUUUAAAAUUAUAACAUUAAAACAUCAGAUAAACAUUUAGUUACUAUAAUUUAAAAAUUAAGUUGAUUUAAUUUUAUAUUUUUAUGAAAAAAAAUUAUUAUAUUUUUAUUAAUUUUUCUAAAAUUAUUAUUUAAAAUUAUAUUAUUAUAUUUUAUUAAUUUUUAUUCAUAAUUAUAAUUUUUUUUAUAAUAACUAUAACUUUUAAGUUUUACCACCUCAAUACCAAACAAACAUAGCCUAAAAAAAUGAAAUUACUGUUAAAAAAAUAGUAACAAUAAAUCUUGCAAAUACUAUGUAAUUGUACAAAUAUAAUUUCAUAGAAAUAAUAAUUAAUAAUUUAAAAUUCGAAAACAGUUAUAAGAUUAAAAUUUUUAAAAAAAAAAGGAAGGAAAAGGUUUUGCUCGGUGUAAAGUAGCCGUACCAACAAGUGCAGGUAGAAGGCAUGAUGAAGACGACCCAACACCGGAGGAGGGUUGCAAUUGAUUUGAAUCAGCAGCAUCAAUCUCCACCGUCUGAUCAGCCUCCGACAUGCCGGGCCUACCGUAUUAAAUUGCUGAGAAAAAUAGAAAGACAUAACUCAACAACUCAAUUACUCAAUUACCUGCCGCUUUUACGAAGAAUUUAAGAUGAGAAAACCGUACAAGCAGGAAACAAAGAAUAGAAGCAGCAGAACAAAAAAGGAAACAAGAAGCGCAAAUCUCCAUAACCAAUUUAUGAUAUAUAUCAAAUCAAAAUCAAAAUAAAAUCAAACGUAUUAAAAGCGCCAUAAUUUUUUCUAUUUCUUAAAAGAGAAAAAAUAAAAGUUUAUUAUUUACUAACAUUCACUGCCUUGCAGCACCGAAUCGAUCACCAUAAUCAAUCCCCAUUCAUAUUAAUUGUUCAUCCAUUAUUUUCCAUUUCUUAUGAUUUUAUUCUUCAUUGUUUUCUAGUUUAAGUGGAAAAUUAAAAAAAAUCCUGUAAACUGUUUGGCAGCCGAGAAAUUGAAUAAAAUCUUCCGAGAAAGUUAAAAUAAGCUGGCACUCAACUAACAGUGUGUAUGAUGUACACGAAUAUUUAAAGGAAAAUCGAAGAAUGAUAAGAAAAAAAUAAUAUGUUUGGCUGCCGAGAAAAGGCAGAAAACGCUACAAACAAGGCAUAUUUACAUUUAGUUUCCUUCGAAACAAAAAAUGAAAAAGAAAAAAUUUUCGUUUUUUUUUAUUUUUAAGUUGUGCGUUUUCUCGGGAACCAAACAGAGAAUAAGAAAAUAAUAGAGAAGAAAAUGUAUUACCGUGAGCUCUGGGUGGUGGCCUGCGAAGAAAAAAACUGAGGGCUCGUGUGAAUUUGUAAGGUACAGACAGAGUGUAUUAUGGAAUUGAAGUUAUUAUGUGAACUAUAAAAUGAUUCAAAAAAAUGUGAUAUUGGAGACUGCCCAAAAUCCGCCAGAAUUAUUUUUUGAGAUUGACGCAUCAUACGCCGACACGUGGUCUGUCAGCGAUUUUCUGAUUUCAAAGUCUACGGCUGCUGCACCCUACAGUAUGUUGUAUGAUGGGGGGUUAUGUAACAGGACUCGACUAGCUUACAUAUCGACUCAUGGUAACUUAUCAUGUGCUGAGUCACGUGACCGACCGCUCUGUCACAAGACAGGCCCAAAAUAAUUUUGGUGCCGACGUAAUGUGUUAUGAUAUUGGCUCAGUUUAGAGUGCGAUUGAAAUUUAAUAAAUUAUUUUUUUUAUUUUUUUAUAAAAAUAAUAUUUAUUAAAUUUUAUAAAAGUAGUUUAUUUUAAUAUUUUUAUUUUUUAUCAGCUUUAAAGGUGAGUGGUUGUUUUUCAUAAGUAGUUUAUUCAAUAAACUAUCAUUCUUUUUUAAAAUUUCUAUUAUAACCCUAUAUUUUAAUAAAAAAAUAAUUGUAUCUUACUUAUUUAUAAAUCAUAAUAUAUAAAUCAUAAUAUAUAAAUCAUCAGAUAUCAUAUUACCGCUAUAAUUUAGUUACCAACAUAAUCACAUAUUUUUUCUCUAGUUUUGAUCAUGUAAGUUCAUAUUUUAAUUUUAUAACUAUGACUUUUAAAGUUUAAUCUAUAUAUAUUCAUAUUUUUUAAUUUAAAUUUGUCUAUUGUAGUUAUUAUAUAAUAAAACAUCACUUUCAUUAUAAAAUUUACCAAACGCAUAUAUUCUACUUUUUAAAUUUACAGCGACCGCAACAACACAGUUCAUCAAACACCAAAUUACUUUUUUAAUCAACAAUUUAUUUUAUUUACACAGCACAAACAAUUUAUUUUAUCAGUCUCCUCAAUCCCAAACUGGCCCACUGUCUGUGCCAAGCUAGAUACAAUUUGAAAUCCACCCAUGUCUUGCUUCCGCGCAAGAAAAUGAUGCAACAACACCUCUUUUAUACAAACUAGCACGGCAUCAUAUGAAUAUUUCUUAGCGAAUGCUGAUAUUCAGCCACCCUCGGCACAUAAGAAAGCCAGAAAAUGAUAUGCUUUUGUGCCGUUUUGAAGUUUUGGAUUUGAAAAUUAACAAUAAUUUUUACCAUUAAAAUAUAUUAAAAGUGAAUUAAAAGAAAUUAAAAAAUCCUCUUAUCCACUUUCUCCUACUCAAUCACCCGUGUUCUAUCCCCUGAAACACUCACGAAGCUCAUUGUCCCUCUCACUCAUGAUGAAGCUCGUUGUCCCACUUACCAACGAAGCUCGCUAUCCCUCUCACUCGCCCACAAAGCUCGUUGUCACGCCACACCCAUUGCCGACCAGUUGCCUAACGUCACUGACCAACCGCAAUUCACGUCACCGACCAGUUGCCUAACGUCACUGACCAACCGCAAUUCACGUCGCCGACUAGUCUUACUUGACAGUGUGCUUGACGAUUUUGGACCUUUUUCACCUGUUCAGGUAAUUAAAUUUAGUAUGCUAAGGAAAGUUUUGAUUUAUUAGGUUGCGAUGUCAAAAAUAGAUUGGGUAGUAUUAGUGGUCAAUUUUCUAGAAUUGUUUUACUGUUGGUGUUUGGAUUGUUUUUGGAAUUUAUAUUUAAAAUUAUGAGAAAUAAGUUAUUUGAAAUGCAGAUUUUGUUUGAAUUAUAUAUGGUUCGUACAAUUUUAUUUUUGAUGGUAUAGAAAUGACGAAUUUGGAAAAAGAUUAUGAAGUCGAAGAAUUAGAUGACAAUGAUUCAAAUGGAAAUAAUAAAGAAACUAAUAAUGUAGUGGAUGUGAAACCAAAAAAGUAUGUGUCAAAAUUUGGGAUGUUGUUUGAUAAUCUUGAUUAGAUGUAUGAUUAUUAUAAAGGUUUUAGUAAACAAGAGGGUUUUCCAAUAAAGUGACAAACUACUAAAAAAGGAUUUGAUGGGAUUGUGAGAUAUGUGACUUUUUCUUAUGAGCGGGAAGCCUAAAAUUCAGUUUUCUAAUGUAUGGAGGCCAUAACCUAGGAGGAGAAGUGGUUGCGAAGUGAAUUUGGAGGAUGUCUUAAUGAAGAUGGAAAAUGGGUUGUUUGAAAUUUAGUUCUUGAACACAACCAUGGAGUGAUAUAACCACCACAUUAGUUCAAGUGUAAAAAAAUCUUGAUAUAAAUGAUAAAGCAAGAAUUAAAGUUGCACAAAAUUUUGCUUCUGUUGUUGUUGAAGUAUGUGGAUUUGAAAAUGUCUCAUUCAUAGAAAGAGAUGUUAGAAAUCGCACCAUCCAUGCAAGGAGAUUACAACUAAAAGAAGGGGAUGUUAUGGCAAUUCAAGUGAAUUUUAAGAAAAUGCAGAAAGAAUGUAAUGGCUUUUACUAUGACAUAGACGUGAAUGAAGAUGGUCAACUAGUCAAUGUAUGAUGGGUAGAUCCAAAGAGUAGGGUACCUUACAAGGAUUUUGGAGAUGUUAUGUUCAACACUACAUAGCUUACAAACAAGUAUGACAUGCCAUUUUCUCCCUUUGUGGGAGUUAACCAUCAUGGUCAGUUUAACUUGCUAGUGUGUGGAUUGAUUUCUUAUGAGGACACUAAGACAUUUAUAUGGUUAUUUUCAGUUGUGUCUCCUGCAUGUUGAGCUCUCCUCCCAAUAAAAUCAUUACAGCCCAGGAUAAAGUAACCAAAAAGGCUAUUGAGAUAUUUUUUCCUCAUACUAGAUAUCGAUGGUAAUUGUAGCAUAUUCUAAAAAGGGUACCUGAGAUGUUAGGGGGCUUAUAAAAAAAUAUGAUGGCAUUAAAUUCAUUACUUUCUACUAUUUAUAAUUUGCAAAGUCCUAGUAUGUUUGAGAAUGCAUAGCAUGACAUAAUUAUGAAAUAUGAUUUAGGUUGCAAUGAUUAGUUCAAGUGGUUUGUACAAUGAGAGAUAUUGUUAGGUUCCGUGUUUUGUGAAUAAUAGUUUUUUUGGUAGGAAUAUCAACAACUCAAUAAAGUGAGAGCAUGAUGCUUUUCUUUAUAGGUACGUGACAUCAAAAACAACAUUGAAACAACCUGUGGAGCAAUUUGAUAAUGCAUUGCAAAGUAAAGUGGAAAAGAAUCAUAAAAAGAUGAGAACUGUUUAAGGCAAUAGAUUUUAUGUGUAACUAUUUUUGAAAUGGAGAGGCAAAUUCAAGAGGCUUACACUAACUCAAAGUUUCUUGAAUUUCAGCAAGAGCUACUUGGUUUGAUGUAUUGUGACAUAAUCGACUGUGUGGGAUCAUUAUAUGAUGUUAGUGAACAGAGUGUGGAUGGUAACAAAAGAAGUUCCGAAUUCAUUUUUGAAAAUGAUGAAAGCACAGUGGAUGUAGCUAUUUAAAGUUUGAAUCUGCAAGGCUUAUGUGUAGACAUGCCAUUGGAUCAUUUCUGUGUUGUUUCGUAACUCUAUUACUCUACUUCCAGAAAAAUACAUCUUACGGAGAUGGAGAAAAGAUGUAUAAAGAUGUCAUAAUAAGGUAAAAUUCAGUUGUGAGAGGUGGAGUUUUAACUAAUGAACAGAAGCAAUGUAGAAAAAUGUGUGAUGUUUUUAGCAAUGUUGUGAACAUAGCUGCAGAUGAUAGAAAAAAGUUACCAAUUCCUUAUGGAUUUGAUUGGGAAAAUAGAAGUGGGUCUGCCUUAGAGAAUUUGUUGUAGAAGUAAAACAAGUGGUAACAACAAGGUGGGAUGUAUAAUGAAUGAGAAUAAUCAAAUUAACCUACAAGAUCUAGUUGUAUCUUGAACAAAAGGUUGUCUACCUUCUCAAAGAAAACAAUCGAAGGUUGAGAAGAAAUACAAAAAGAAAAUUAAGGUAAGAUUAAAUACUUAGAUAAUUAUUUUAUAGUUAAUUUUAAUUUAUCUUUUUAUGGAUUUACUGGACUCAAAUGUAAAAACUCUAUUAUCUUUUAAUGUGGAUAUUGUGGUCCCAACGCAGGAGAGCAAUAAGAAUUCAGUAAGUUUUGUGUUUUUUUAUGUAUGUUUAUUAAUAUUAAAUUUGUCAUUAUGUAAAAAGUUACCAGUACAGUGUUUAUUUAGGCACCUGUGUUUGCAUGCCGAUCACCAGGAUGCGAUAUUUAUCCAUCAUAUCCUUUUGAUUCUUACACUAUAAGUUAUAAACCAAUUUCUAUAUUUUAUGCCUAAUUAAUUUUGCACUUUAUGGAAUGUAAUAUGGUUAUUAUUUUAUGCAAACUAACAAUCUCUAUUACUCUCAUCGCAUCCAUCUAUGUUGCCUUAUUCUUCGUCUUAGAUACUCUAUGGAGGAUCUCAACAAGGGAGUUUUCAGCAAUUACUACUUCAAACUAGGGGUGAGCGUUCGGAUCAGGUUAACCCGAACCAAACUAAACCCAAAAUUUAGGUUAACCUGUGCAACCUGAAUGGAUUCAAAUACAUACAUACAUACAUACAUACAUACAUACAUACAUACAUACAUACAUACAUACAUACAUACAUACAUACAUACAUACAUACAUACAUACAUACAUACAUACAUACAUACAUACAUACAUACAUACAUACAUACAUACAUACAUACAUACAUACAUACAUACAUACAUACAUACAUACAUACAUACAUACAUACAUACAUACAUACAUACAUACAUACAUACAUACAUACAUACAUACAUACAUACAUACAUACAUACAUACAUACAUACAUACAUACAUACAUACAUACAUACAUACAUACAUACAUACAUACAUACAUACAUACAUACAUACAUACAUACAUACAUACAUACAUACAUACAUACAUACAUACGUACGUACGUACGUACGUACGUACGUAUGUAUGUAUGUAUGUAUGUAUGUAUUAAACAAAAAAAAUCUCUUUGACUACAUUUUUUAUAUUUUAUUAAUUUUAAAAAGACUUGUUGAAAUGUUGUUAAGGAUAUUUGGAUUUGAGAUUUUUGGAUUUUAAGUGGUUUUGGUAAAAUUUAUGGAUUAAAUUGUUCCAACCCAUUCUAACCCGAAUUAACCUAAAUUACCAACUCAAUCUGAUCCGAAUUACGAACCUAAAUCGAACCGAACCAAACCGAAUUAAAUUCGGUUUAGUUCGGUUCGGGUUGACGUUUUCAACCCGAUUGGGUUCAAUUCUCCAACCCGAUCAGGUUGAAACCUAAAUCGAAAUUCGAACAACCCAAACCGAAACCCGAUAUGCCCACCCCUACUUCAAACAAAAUGACAAUGACAAAAAACCAAACUUCAGAGAUUGAUCAUUAACUUAGUCUUUUUUUUCAUAUAUAAUUUUAGAUGUGUUUUGUGUAUUAGUUGGUUGGAUGAUAUUACUCUAAUGCUCAAAGAUUGAUGGAGUCAUACAUGCUAUUAUAUUCUUAAUUGAAACAUGAGAAUGAUGCAUGAAGAUACGUAAACUGAAGAUUUAUACCAAAUUAAAAAUGAAAGUGUAUGCAAGUGAAAAUAGAAUUUUAUAACAUAAACAAAACCAUUACGACAACAAGAGUAGUUCAGACAACAUAAAUGGCUCAGAAAUGCCAAAUUAACAAAAACUAAAAAUGCAUCAGCUACAAUUAUUCAUUUAAACAUUACAAAACAUAAUUGCUAUCCCUAAAAUACACAUCACAAUGGAAAAAAUAAUCCAGAAUGUCCAACAAUUAUUCUUGACUUCAUUAAUUUGCACACUCUUAUCACAUGUUUCCACAUUAAUCUUCCCAACUUCAAGCCUAGCUAAAGUAGGCAACUAGUUGUUCAUUUUCCUCUCACGAUUGUAAGCAUUGUAUGUUGAUUCGACAUCCAACAAUGGUCUGUAAGAUUGGAAUGAAUUAUCCUUAAAUCCAUUUACUUGCCUUUAGAUUCAUAUAUUACAUCCCUCAAAUACAAUGUAAUAGGUAUGGCAAGUCAUUAGUUUCUACAUUUGAUAAAAAUAAAAUACAAAUUAGCAACAUAAAGAGAAAAAAGAAAAUGAUGGAUUCUAUUUCAUUUCUCAGGUGGUAGUGUCGUUAGGGUACACCAAAUUUAAAACUUUAUUACUAAUAUAAAUAACUAGUACAGAGUGAGUAAGGAUCGAUACCACGAAAAUUAUGCUAGUUGUAUUUAUUAUCAACUCUAAAGUAGGAUUUAAAAUAAAAUAAUAGUAGUAGUAAUAAUAGUAAUAAUAAUACAGAUUAAUGUAACUAAAGAAAAUGUCAAUUAAAAAUAAAAAGGGGUUUAUGAAUUUUUAAAUAAAUAGCAAGAAAUAAAGAAAUUAAAGCUACAAAAAUAAUAAUUUAAUAAAAAAACUCUAGUUAAAGGAGAAAGAAAUAAUAAUGAUGAAAACUUUGGUUAAAUGAUCAUUUGCUACCACCAAAUAUGCACAUAAUAUAUCAAUUCUAUCAUCAAUUUCUAUUGAAACUAUCAACCGUAAACAACUAUAAGCUCUAUUAGUCUUAGUCUUUCCUUAGAGUGUCGUUAGGCAAAACAAGCUCUUCACCUAAUCUCUAACCAUUAAAUAAUUUAAAAUAAGAUUUUUAAAUUUAAGAUAAUGGAAGUAUUAAGUAGAGAAAGAUAUUAGGUUAAUCGAGGCAAUAAACACACAAGCUCGGAUUAUUUAAUCUAGGUUAUGUUCUCCAAUUGAAAUCACUCAUUCCAACCUACUACUAAUGAUUAAAAUAUCAAGACAGUUACGGAUCAAGAAUUUUAAUGUAGCAAUAAAAUUUAUUCAAGUCCUAUAUAAUUGGCCACUCAAAUAAGGCAAGAAUAAAAUCAUAAACAUUAAUUAUAGAAGAACAUAAACAAUCUUAAUUAAAUAAAUUGAAUGAUAGAAAUUAAACAUUAAUCAUAUGACAUGUUUGGGGUUUUAAAUUUAUCAUCAACUAAAUAGAAAAUCUAGCUAACAUAAUUGAAUUGGGAAUAAAAGAGUUAAUAAAACCAAACAUAAAAAUUAAUUCAAACGACUACCUCCUCUAUUUUUUUCUUCUCUUCUUGCCGCUGCUUUCUCUUCAAUUCCUCUUGGUUGCUGAUUGUCUUCAAAUCAAAAGCCAGUAGUUGGCUUUUAUAGUACUUAAGCCACCGACCUUAGUAAUUAAGGUUUGAUCAUUUGUUUUCCUUUUUUUUCCUUUUUCGUCCUCAUGCACAAGCUUUUGUGAUUGACCAUGAUUUCUAAAGCCAAAAGGCUUAAUUUUCCUUCCUCUCACGUGAUGGCUUUGCUUGUUAAUUGGUUUGGCUUCCUUUUUGACUUCCUUUGUCCAUUUUUAGCUCCAUCAAGAUUAAUUUUGCUUGGCCCGUACAAGCUCUAAUUGGAAAAUAUUCAUUAUUUCUUUAAUUCUUUCCAAUUCUUAAUCUCUUAUGCACUUUUGUCUUACAAUCUUCAAUUCUUUUCCUAUUCUGAUUCUUUCAAUCAGAAAUUUUUUUCCUAAAUGUCCCGAUUUAAUUCAUCUUUAAUCCCAGAAUAUACCUAAAUAACAAAAUAUAAAAACUAAGAUAAAAAUUAACACAAUAAAAUAUGAUUUAAAAAAUUAACUAAAGUAAUUAGAAUAUUUAAGGCCAAUAACAAGGAAAGAUGGAUAAAUUAAUUAGUAAAAUAUAGAGAAAAUAUGCACUUAUCAUCGGUUAUCAAACAAUAAUUCCCAUAUAUGUCCAUCACUUAAACAUGUAUGCAAGCCCCCAAAAAGUCACAUUUGGUUUGAAGUUAAUGGCGCAAUCUGCUGUACGGCCAAGGCGGAUGUACGGUACAGCAGCAUACAUACAUACAUACAUACAUACAUACAUACAUACAUACAUACAUACAUACAUACAUACAUACAUACAUACAUACAUACAUACAUACAUACAUACAUACAUACAUACAUACAUACAUACAUACAUACAUACAUACAUACAUACAUACAUACAUACAUACAUACAUACAUACAUACAUACAUACAUACAUACAUACAUACAUACAUACAUACAUACAUACAUACAUACAUACAUACAUACAUACAUACAUACAUACAUACAUACAUACAUACAUACAUACAUACAUACAUACAUACAUACAUACAUACAUACAUACAUACAUACAUACAUACAUACAUACAUACAUACAUACAUACAUACAUACAUACAUACAUACAUACAUACAUACAUACAUACAUACAUACAUACAUACAUACAUACAUACAUACAUACAUACAUACAUACAUACAUACAUACAUACAUACAUACAUACAUACAUACAUACAUACAUACAUACAUACAUACAUACAUACAUACAUACAUACAUACAUACAUACAUACAUACAUACAUACAUACAUACAUACAUACAUACAUACAUACAUACAUACAUACAUACAUACAUACAUACAUACAUACAUACAUACAUACAUACAUACAUACAUACAUACAUACAUACAUACAUACAUACAUACAUACAUACAUACAUACAUACAUACAUACAUACAUACAUACAUACAUACAUACAUACAUACAUACAUACAUACAUACAUACAUACAUACAUACAUACAUACAUACAUACAUACAUACAUACAUACAUACAUACAUACAUACAUACAUACAUACAUACAUACAUACAUACAUACAUACAUACAUACGUACGUACGUACGUACGUACGUACGUAUGUAUGUAUGUAUGUAUGUAUGUAUUAAACAAAAAAAAUCUCUUUGACUACAUUUUUUAUAUUUUAUUAAUUUUAAAAAGACUUGUUGAAAUGUUGUUAAGGAUAUUUGGAUUUGAGAUUUUUGGAUUUUAAGUGGUUUUGGUAAAAUUUAUGGAUUAAAUUGUUCCAACCCAUUCUAACCCGAAUUAACCUAAAUUACCAACUCAAUCUGAUCCGAAUUACGAACCUAAAUCGAACCGAACCAAACCGAAUUAAAUUCGGUUUAGUUCGGUUCGGGUUGACGUUUUCAACCCGAUUGGGUUCAAUUCUCCAACCCGAUCAGGUUGAAACCUAAAUCGAAAUUCGAACAACCCAAACCGAAACCCGAUAUGCCCACCCCUACUUCAAACAAAAUGACAAUGACAAAAAACCAAACUUCAGAGAUUGAUCAUUAACUUAGUCUUUUUUUUCAUAUAUAAUUUUAGAUGUGUUUUGUGUAUUAGUUGGUUGGAUGAUAUUACUCUAAUGCUCAAAGAUUGAUGGAGUCAUACAUGCUAUUAUAUUCUUAAUUGAAACAUGAGAAUGAUGCAUGAAGAUACGUAAACUGAAGAUUUAUACCAAAUUAAAAAUGAAAGUGUAUGCAAGUGAAAAUAGAAUUUUAUAACAUAAACAAAACCAUUACGACAACAAGAGUAGUUCAGACAACAUAAAUGGCUCAGAAAUGCCAAAUUAACAAAAACUAAAAAUGCAUCAGCUACAAUUAUUCAUUUAAACAUUACAAAACAUAAUUGCUAUCCCUAAAAUACACAUCACAAUGGAAAAAAUAAUCCAGAAUGUCCAACAAUUAUUCUUGACUUCAUUAAUUUGCACACUCUUAUCACAUGUUUCCACAUUAAUCUUCCCAACUUCAAGCCUAGCUAAAGUAGGCAACUAGUUGUUCAUUUUCCUCUCACGAUUGUAAGCAUUGUAUGUUGAUUCGACAUCCAACAAUGGUCUGUAAGAUUGGAAUGAAUUAUCCUUAAAUCCAUUUACUUGCCUUUAGAUUCAUAUAUUACAUCCCUCAAAUACAAUGUAAUAGGUAUGGCAAGUCAUUAGUUUCUACAUUUGAUAAAAAUAAAAUACAAAUUAGCAACAUAAAGAGAAAAAAGAAAAUGAUGGAUUCUAUUUCAUUUCUCAGGUGGUAGUGUCGUUAGGGUACACCAAAUUUAAAACUUUAUUACUAAUAUAAAUAACUAGUACAGAGUGAGUAAGGAUCGAUACCACGAAAAUUAUGCUAGUUGUAUUUAUUAUCAACUCUAAAGUAGGAUUUAAAAUAAAAUAAUAGUAGUAGUAAUAAUAGUAAUAAUAAUACAGAUUAAUGUAACUAAAGAAAAUGUCAAUUAAAAAUAAAAAGGGGUUUAUGAAUUUUUAAAUAAAUAGCAAGAAAUAAAGAAAUUAAAGCUACAAAAAUAAUAAUUUAAUAAAAAAACUCUAGUUAAAGGAGAAAGAAAUAAUAAUGAUGAAAACUUUGGUUAAAUGAUCAUUUGCUACCACCAAAUAUGCACAUAAUAUAUCAAUUCUAUCAUCAAUUUCUAUUGAAACUAUCAACCGUAAACAACUAUAAGCUCUAUUAGUCUUAGUCUUUCCUUAGAGUGUCGUUAGGCAAAACAAGCUCUUCACCUAAUCUCUAACCAUUAAAUAAUUUAAAAUAAGAUUUUUAAAUUUAAGAUAAUGGAAGUAUUAAGUAGAGAAAGAUAUUAGGUUAAUCGAGGCAAUAAACACACAAGCUCGGAUUAUUUAAUCUAGGUUAUGUUCUCCAAUUGAAAUCACUCAUUCCAACCUACUACUAAUGAUUAAAAUAUCAAGACAGUUACGGAUCAAGAAUUUUAAUGUAGCAAUAAAAUUUAUUCAAGUCCUAUAUAAUUGGCCACUCAAAUAAGGCAAGAAUAAAAUCAUAAACAUUAAUUAUAGAAGAACAUAAACAAUCUUAAUUAAAUAAAUUGAAUGAUAGAAAUUAAACAUUAAUCAUAUGACAUGUUUGGGGUUUUAAAUUUAUCAUCAACUAAAUAGAAAAUCUAGCUAACAUAAUUGAAUUGGGAAUAAAAGAGUUAAUAAAACCAAACAUAAAAAUUAAUUCAAACGACUACCUCCUCUAUUUUUUUCUUCUCUUCUUGCCGCUGCUUUCUCUUCAAUUCCUCUUGGUUGCUGAUUGUCUUCAAAUCAAAAGCCAGUAGUUGGCUUUUAUAGUACUUAAGCCACCGACCUUAGUAAUUAAGGUUUGAUCAUUUGUUUUCCUUUUUUUUCCUUUUUCGUCCUCAUGCACAAGCUUUUGUGAUUGACCAUGAUUUCUAAAGCCAAAAGGCUUAAUUUUCCUUCCUCUCACGUGAUGGCUUUGCUUGUUAAUUGGUUUGGCUUCCUUUUUGACUUCCUUUGUCCAUUUUUAGCUCCAUCAAGAUUAAUUUUGCUUGGCCCGUACAAGCUCUAAUUGGAAAAUAUUCAUUAUUUCUUUAAUUCUUUCCAAUUCUUAAUCUCUUAUGCACUUUUGUCUUACAAUCUUCAAUUCUUUUCCUAUUCUGAUUCUUUCAAUCAGAAAUUUUUUUCCUAAAUGUCCCGAUUUAAUUCAUCUUUAAUCCCAGAAUAUACCUAAAUAACAAAAUAUAAAAACUAAGAUAAAAAUUAACACAAUAAAAUAUGAUUUAAAAAAUUAACUAAAGUAAUUAGAAUAUUUAAGGCCAAUAACAAGGAAAGAUGGAUAAAUUAAUUAGUAAAAUAUAGAGAAAAUAUGCACUUAUCAUCGGUUAUCAAACAAUAAUUCCCAUAUAUGUCCAUCACUUAAACAUGUAUGCAAGCCCCCAAAAAGUCACAUUUGGUUUGAAGUUAAUGGCGCAAUAUAUGCUUUAGAGAAAAUGAAGAACCUUACAAUGAAGCUACAAUUAUUGGAUUUAGCAGAACAAUUGCCGCAACUAAAGAACUCAAGAAUGCAACUAAGAUAAAAAAACAAUUGCCUCAACUAAAGAAUUCACAGAAACCAUUCCAAGCCUUGCCAUUUUGUUCAAUAUGGCAAAGGUAGUACAACAACAAAAUGUGGAAGGUUUCAAUGCAAUUGAAUCACAAAGAUGUAAUAAAAAAAUACAAUUGAAUCAUAGAGUUUAUAGAAAUGAGGUCACAUAAAUGUAAAGAAGCAAUGAAUCAAGCAAGGUUUCAAUGCUUCAUUGGAAAAUAAAAAUAGGAAAAGUUUUAGUGUACAUGGUUUUAGCAAAAGAAUAUUAGGGAAUACAUUUUACUAAAACAAGCACUUUAGUCUCAUUUAUCAGAAGAAAAAUUAUUGGUAAAUUGUAAAUGGUGUGACUGUGCCACUAUAGAGCUUCAGGAACAACCUUUCUAAGUUGAGCAACUAAAAAAGAAAAAAAUUACACCCAGAAAUAGUAUCUUUUAAUUGGAUUCAAAAUUAGUAAUGAAAUCAGAAAUCUAUCUACCUCCAAUGAAUCGAAACUUUCCUCAACAUUACUUGAAGAGGUGAAAAAGGUCCAACUGAUUGGCAAUGUGAAUGGUGUGAUGGCGCGACGUGAGGCAACUAGUCGGCACAACUAGUUGGUGAUGGGUGUGGCAUGACAACAAGCUUCGUAGGUGAGAGGGACAACGAGCUUCACUGGUGAGAAGGACAGCGAGCUUCAUGGUGAGUGAGAGGGACAGCGAGCUUCAUGGUGAGUGAGAGGUGAAAUGCAAGUUAUGCAACCCAAGAGAGGGGGUGAAUUGGGAUUUUAAAAUUUAUGCAAUACAAUUCGUACAAUAAUUUAAUCUAUUGCCUUAAUCAAAUCAAAAAUCAAGCACAAUAUUAAAAGAGAUAUUAAAAGAGUAAGGGAAGAGAAAACAAAUAUAAGGAUUUUUACGUGGUUCGGCUAUCCCCGCCUACGUCCACGCCUCCAAGCUCACCCGGCUUGAGGAUUUCACUAUUCAAGCCUCCCAAGGCUUCAAAUGUUUACAAUUGACUUCCAAGGUGUCAAUGGUUCACUACAACAAGAUAUUAUCUCCCCAAUCUCUUCACCCCAAGUGUUUCUCACACUUGUACACUCACAAUUUGAUGAGAAAUAAAAAUCACAACAAUGAAACUAUCUUUAAGAGUGGAUAACAAAUUAUAGCUCAAUAAUGACUCAAUAAAUGAUGAUUUGUGAAAUGAAAGCUCAAUAUAUGUUAUAUGAUCUUAUUUAUGCUUGUAUUAGUUUUUAAAAUAAAGUUGGAGUUGAGUUUUUAUAGUUAAAGCCCGAAAACUAGCCGUUAUAGGUAAAUUCCCGCGCCCAAGCGGUUAGCCGCUUGAUUUAUCCGGCUAGCCACUCAUGAACAGUGAUAUUACCAUUAGUUUUGAAUUUACUACAGUAAUACUGUUUACUAAAAUUAUACUUUAGGCCCAAAACUUUCUAUAAUUAUGUUACGGCACAAAAUGUCAUAAAACUUGACAAAUAGGUCCAAUUUUAGAAUUUCCUAAAAAUAAUUAUCUUUCCAAAACUUUCUGAAAUUAUGAUAUGGCCCCAAAGAUAUUAUUAUUUCGCAAAAAAGUCCUUGUCAACAUAAUACCCAUAUUUUUCAAAGUUCUCAAAAAUCUCACUUUAGUCCAAAAUAUUCAUAAAUUAUAGUAUGACCCAAAACAUUUAAAUGUUUAUAAAAACAUCCAACUCCGAAAUUUAAUAAUAAUACUUAUUAAAAUAAAAAAUUUCAAAACUUUACAUUUAAAACCAAAAUAACUCAAAACCACAAGGUACUUUAUCUUAUAAAAAUAAAACCUUUUAGUUUAUAAAAAGUAAUUAAUUAAAUUAAUCUCUUGAGCUUCUCAAAUGCUAAAUCAUGCAUCAAUUAAAUCAUACCGGCUUUACGAGAAUUUAUCGCACUAAUUUGUCCGUUGAGCUCUAAACUUUAUUCUUGAUGUCGCCAUUGUCCGUUGAGUGUCUUGAACUUGAUUUCACUUGAUUCACUUGCAUAAAUAUUACCCUUCAAAAACUAGUGCAAAUGUGAAAUAUAAUACUAUUAAAUCACUUAAUACUGUUAGCCUAAAGGGCUAUACAUAAUGUAAUUUUGAUGAUAACAAACAUGUGUAUUAAGUAAUUUAAUAAAUAUUGUAUUUCACAUUUUCACUAAUUUUUUAAGGAUAAUAUUUAUGCAAGUGAAUCAAGUGAAAUCAAGAUUGAAGACACUCAACGGACAACAACGACAUCAAGAAUAUAGUUUAGAGCUCAACGAACAAAUUAGUGCGAUAAAUUCUUGUAAAGCCGGUAUGAUUUAAUUGAUGCAUGAUUUAGCAUUUGAGAAGUUCAAGAGAUUAAUUUAAUUAAAUACUUUUCAUAAACUAAAAGGUUUUAUUUUUAUAAAGUAAAGUAUUUUGUGGAUUUAAGUAAUUUGGACUUAAAUGCUAAAUUAAAUGUUUUGGGCCAUACUAUAAUUUAUGAAUAUUUUGGACUAAAGUGAAAGGUUUUGAGAACUUUAAAAAAUAUGGGUAUUAUGUUGAAAAGGACCUUUGUGUGAAACAAUAAAAUCUUUGGGGCCAUAUCAUAAUUUUAAAAAGUUUGGGAAAGACAACUAUUCUUAGGAAAUUCUGAAAUUGGACCUAUUUAAAAAGUUUUCUGACGUUUUGGUCUAUAGUAUAAUUAUAUAAAGUUUUGUGCUAAAGUGUAAUUUCAGUGAACAGUGUUACUGUAGCAAAUUCAAAAAUAACGGUAAUAUUACUGUGCCUGAGCGGCUAGCCGGAUAAUCAAGCGGCUAACUGCUUGAGCGCUGGAAUUUACCUAUAACGGCUAGUUUUUGGGUUUUCACUAUAAAAACUCAACUCAAACUUCAUUUUAAGAACUAAUGCAAGCAAAUAUAAGAUCAUACAACAUAUAUUGAGCUUCCAAAACGCAAAUCUUCAUAGAUUGAAUCAUUGUUGAGCCAUUAUUUGCAUAUCCACUCUUAAAGAGAGUUUUUGUUGUGAUUUUCAUUUCUCAUCAAAUUGUGAGUGUACAAGUGUGAGAAACACUUGGGGUGAAGAGAUUGGGGAGAUAAUCUCUUGUUGUAAAGGUCCAUUGACACCUUGGAAGUCAAUUGUAAACAUUUGAAACCUUGGGAGGCUUGGAUAGUGAAAUCCUCAAGCCGGGUGAGCUUGGAGGCGUGGGCGUAGGCGGGGAUAGCCGAACCACGUAAAAAUCCUUGUGUUUAUUUUCUCUUCCCUUACUCUUUUAAUAUUGUGCUUGAUUGAAUUUAUUAUUUUCAUUUGAUUAAGGCAAUAGAUUAAAUUGUUGUGCGAAUUGUAUUGCAUAAAUUUUAAAAUCUCAAUUCACCCCCCCUCUUGGGUUGCAUAACUUGCAUUUCAAAUACAUAUGUUUGUUAUCAUCAAAAUUACAUUAUAUGUAGCCCUUUAGGCUAACAAGAGGGAUAACAAGCUUCGGGGGUGAGUGAAAAGGGAUAGAGCGGGUGAGUGAAGAGAGGCAGAGCAGGUGAGUGAGAGGGAGGGAGUGGAUAAGAACAGGUUAAGAUUUUUUCUAUUCUUUUGAUUAUUUUUAUUAUAUUUUAAUGGUAAAAUUUAUUUUUAAUUUUUAAUUUUUAAAUUCAAAACUUCAAAAUAGCCCAGGAAACAUGUCAUUUUUGGCUUCCUUAUGUAUUGAGGGUGGCCAAAUAUCAUUUUCCUUUUAUAGCUUACAUGAUUGAAUUUUAUUAUUUUACUUAUAUUAAACAAUCAUAUAAUAUUACAUUCAUUUAUACAAUAAUAUUUAUAUAAGAGUUUAUAAAUAUAUUAUUACUGUUUUUUUAAUAUUACUGUAGCCUGCAAAAAAAUUUAUAUUAAAGAUAAAUAGGCAUUAUGGAGACACCAUGGCAACCAAAACCGCAUCUCCAUGUUGUUUUGUUGCAAUUUAUUUAUUUGUCUUAAAUUAUCCCCAAAAAAAGGCACCAUAGAGAUGUCUUAAAUUUAGUAUUUAUGUAUAUAAUAAUUAAAGAUGACUGAAAAUCCCAACGAGACGGGAAUCUUAGAGAGAUUUUCGCAAUUUGGGAAGGUAUGAAGAUACCUUUGUAUCUAAUUUCGCAUUCAGGAAAUUGAUAGAGCCAAUUCAAUACCCAAUAUCUUAUUCGGUUUUCCCCACUUCUAUUUUAUUUUAUAAAAUUUAAAUUGUAACGGUAUGGAUGUAAAUAACACAUAUAAUAAUAUUUACUAAAGUGAUAUAAAUAACAACUAAUGUAUAUACUUGAAGAUUGAUGAAGAUAAUUUCUGUGAUGACUUAUAGGACAGCCACAAGCUAGGAAUUGUGGGGGAUGCCAAUACCUGCCCUUGUCCUUCUAAAAUAAAAGAAAUCGUUUUCUCAGCCCUUACAUGUUAUGGGUCUAAAUGGGUAUGGUGGGAAAUUUUCCAUAAAGAAAUACAAAAAUCCAUGUCUAUCUCUUAUCCCCUAUCCCUUGUAUCCUCUUUAUUAUUUUAAUAUCCUGCUCAUAUUUUAAAAAAAUUUCAACUAAAAGAUGAUAUAAUAUCCAAUUGUAAUAUCUUAAAAAUUAUUUUAAAAAAUAGCUUCAAGUUUAGUGACAUCUUCACUUUGUUAAAAUUCGAAUGUUCUCACUAAAAAAGUAUAUUUACACAGACGCACACGCAUACGCACAUGCACGCAUGCGCACACACAUAUGUAUAUUCAUUGAUGAUCUUUAUUUGCUAAGCUCAACUUUGAUCAAUAUGUUACUAAAUGAGGAUACUGAAUCUAUUUAAAUAGAGAGAAAAUUAUAUUUUUUGAUUAUUACGUUUUGUAGUAAUCCAGAAUAAAGAACCACUUUUUAUUGAUUUUUUUUUCUUAAUAUACAAGACUUGUAAGAAGUAAAGUCUUCAAAAAUAACUUUUGAUAUUUUUUUUUUCCGAGAGGGACUUUUGAUAUCCUUAAACACUAUGACAAUUAAGGAUGGCAAAAUGCGGGUUUGGGUUUAGCUGUUCCAAGCCCAGACCCAAGCCAAUUAGAGAGGAAUUAUAAGGGCUGGGCCGGGGUUGGCCUUAGGCAGGACUUGGGCAUCCACUUGUUUUUAAUUUUUUUAAAUUGUUGUAAAGUUGAAAUAAGUUAAUAAUUAAUAAGUGGUUAUAAUUAAUAAUGAAUUAAAGAAAAUGAAUAUUUGAAAAUAAAAUAAUAAACAAAGAAAAUGAAGCAAAUAAAAGUUUAGAAAUUUAAUUUUUUAAUGUUGGAUCCUCUAAUUCAAGCACCUCCUUAAUUAGGUAUUUAAGCUUUUUUUUUAACUUUUUUUAUUAUUUUUUAAUUUUAAUUUAUUAUUCUAAUUUAUAAUUUAUUUUUUUAAAAAAUAGAUGGUUUGGACCUAGCCUUGGCUUUUUUUCUCUUAAGCCCUUCUCCUGGUCCUUUAUGUGGAGAUUCAGGCCAAAGCCUGUGGGAAUGACCCUGGACCUACCCAGGCUUAUUUGCAAUCUCUAAUGGCAAUUGGCAAGUUGCUUAUUUUAAGAUUUAUAGUGCUUUUACAGUUUUACUUCUCAAAUUGGGGAAUCAGAAUCUAAAAUAUGAAUGAUUAAUUGUGUUUACUUAGUAAAAUGGAGGUAGAAAUGAGAAUAAAACAUGUUGAGCUCACAUAUUUUUUGGAUUAAGAAAUGGGAACUUGAUUCCCACGAGAGAGAUAAGGAAUCAAGUUCUCAUUCCUUAGACUUUCCAUUUUACUCCCACUCAAAUUUUUUAAUUUAACUUUCAUCCUCAAAUAAAAUAUUAUUAUAUUAUAAUAUUAUUAUCAUUUUUUGUUAUUAUUGUUGUUAAUAAUAAUAAUAAUAAUAAUAAUCCGUUAUUUUCUCAGUUAAGUUUAACGGUGGAGGGGUAAAAUUGGAAGUUCAUUCCUUAAAUUAAUUUUAAUGGGAAUUCUCUUUAUUGUAAUUGAAAUAAAAAUUUAAAAAAAUUAAAGGAAAAAUAAUAGUGGUGACCUGCUGUACCGUACAUCCGCCUUGGCCGUACAGCAGAUUUAAACUAUUAAUAAUAAUAAUUAUUAUUAUUAUUAUUAAUUAAAUAAAUAAUAAUAAUAAAAACAAUCAUUAUAAUAAAUAAUGACAAUAAUCAACUAAAAGUAAACAAUUUUUUAUUUUCAUUCUCAUUCUGACUACAGCUCAUUCUGAUUCUAACACAUUCCGAUUACCGUUUAGUGAACGCACCAUCAAACUCUUUAUUACUUUAUUAUUUAUUUUGUUUGCUUAUAAAUAAAUAGCCAAUUUUAACAUUAAAAAAAUGAAGAGUUAAAUGGUUUAUGUGGUGGGUACGGGUCAAAGUGUCUUGUACAUAUGCCCAACGCAUCUAACCAAUGAGCAAAAAAAAUGUAACAACCCUAUACCUAAUCCUAAUGUAACAACCCCUUCCAAACCCCAUCCCAAUAGGGAUUUUUUGCCAUCCUUUCUUUUACCAUUUGAGUUCAACUUUGAAGCUCUAUUUUUGCUUAAUUUUAUAGAUUAUCUUGUAAUUUUAAUUCACCUUUGAAACUCCAUUUUUACUUAAUUUCAAAGAUUAUUUUCUAAUGUUAACGAUGAUAACUUAAUUUGAUAGAAAUGAUUUUAAUUACUUUAGUUUAUUUUGAUGUUUUUGUGUUGGUAAUACGAUUUUAUACUUCUACUUUAAUAUAAUUAAAUAAAGUUUAGAAAAUAAAAAUAUCAGUUAUUUAAGGGUUGAGUAUUCUCAAAAAUCCCCUUUUAUUAUUUGAAAAUCUUCAUCUCCUCCCUUCAAGCAAUUUAAAGGGGACAGGGAGAGUAUUAGAAUAUAAAUAGAGCAUUAAAAAUGAAGACAAAAAUGUCAAUUCCGUCCCGCCCGUCUCCACCAUUUAUUAUUCUAGAAGAGUGCUAUCAUUCAAUCCACUUCCCUCACCGUCAAAAAUUUGCAUCUAAAUGUGGAAUAUUUGAAUUAGCAUUGUCAUUCUACCAUUCGCUAAUUGAUAUAAAAGAUCACAAGAGUCAGUGCAACGUUACUGAUUCUGAUGAUUGAUUGAACGCUUAGGUUUUUGUAACCACAAUUCAAUCCUACUCUUCAAACUAGCCUUACAUGCCAAAUGCAUAAACUCUUUGGAAAUACGAACAUAUUUCCAGAAAAUGGAAGCAAAUUAUCCACUUCGCUAUAUUCUUUAUCGAAUAAUGCUAUAUGUACCAAAUGGCACAAAAUUUAGUACAAAAGCACAGAAGAUUAAAAUACACACACACACACACACAUAUAUAUAUAUAGUUAUUAUUAAUUUUUUUUUUUUGGGUUUUCUAGUAAUAUUGUGCAAUUUUUUUUUUCUACUUUUUGCAUACAUAUAUCAUUGUCGUUCUUUAAGAUAGCUGAGAAGUGAAGUAUGUAAGCCCAUGAAACUAAGUGUGACAUCUGAUAGCUAUGCAGUAACUGGUCUUAAAUAACUUCUAACAUCAAAACAUAAAUCUGGAUGAACAUAUUCGAAUAUGAAAACAAAUAGAAUACAGUAUUUGACCAAAGACAUUUUGAACAGAUAAUUAACAAGCAUCAUUAUGGUGGUACGGUAUUGAUUUUUUUGAAAAUAAAAUGGAUAAAAUUUGUUACUCAAAAAGAAAAGAAACCUUCUAAUCGUUGACGAGCAAUAGAAGCUGCAUUCUCUAAAUUUGCACAAACAUGAUCAAAAUAAGGACACUAUUAUCACUAUUAAAAGAAUCAUUAGCCAUUACAGUAAAAACUAAAAAGAACCUCCUCCUCUCUCUUGCAGAGGAUAGGUCAAAGCUCAGCCGUACUGAUGUAAAAAUUAUAUAUAUAACCCUGAAAGGAAGCAGUCUCCAUCCCCAAAUGUCUAAAUCAUCACAUUCACAGGUUAAAAAUAAAAAAUGAGUAUGAAAAAGGUGGUUCUGUCAAUGCCAGUGUUAUUUAUGCUAUUUAUGUGAACUAACAACUCAGAGAGCAGACCUGGAAGCGGCUGCGUGAAACUGUAUGGGCCUGAACCCCGAACAGGUGAUUAGCAAAGUAUGCUAUGUUUCGCGCAUUUUUAGCACAUUGAAUCUCGUAUCAGCCUUCUGCUAAUGAGCACUUUACCUCUGUGAAAAUAGUGGAAAACUACUCCUCUUGUGCCCCGUAUCGGCAUUUAACUUCAUCCCCUUCCACAAGCCUCUCCACAGCAUCCAAAGGCAGCCCAACCAGCUCUAAUGUCUUCUCCCACACUUUAUAAGAAGUUUCAAUGUUGUGAGCUUCUUCUGAAGGAUUUGCUGGACGGCAAUCUUGAGAAAUAAAUGCACAAACAGGCCAAUCAUCUGCUUUUAGCAAUUCACAAUACUCCGGCAUCUGGGGAUCAGUUGCUGAGAAAAGAGUGCUCCUAGAACCUAGAUUGAUAGAUCAUGCCAAGUUUAGCCUGUGAUCAUUUUAUUUUUCUUUUAUUACAAUUUCAUCUUUUAGAUAGCAGACAUGGGUACCAAGCACAGAACUUAUUAAAAUAUAUAAUUUCUUAACUUGUAGGAUUCAUAAGCCCUCCACAUAUCAUUUUCCAUUUUAGGUACAUUAUUCUUAAACUAUUUCUCAAGAUAGUAUAACAUGGUUCGAUUACUAGCAACAUAAACCAUGACACCACAGACUCCAACAUUGAAAUCCUAAAAUCUCACGAUACGGAUAAAACAGAAACACAAGAAUCAUUUAGUAAAAUAUUUGUAUGUUUAAAUUCCACUGUCUGGAAUUAAUGUUCAUAUUGUAUAUGGUAAUCUAUUUAAAAUGUAAAUGUUUAUGUUGCAAUUUUUGAAAAUCAGUCAUAUUGGUAAAAUUUGAUGACCCAAUAUACCUCUUCUUGCUAUUGUGAGUAAGUGUUUUCAGUAAUCAGAGUGGCAUAUGGGACAAAUCAGUUACCCCUGUUUAAUAUUUAAAAUGACCUAAUCUGAAUUGCUAUAUUUUUAGCUAGUCAAAUUUAGAUGUGGAUUGAUAUUUUUUGGGCAUUUAACAAAAGCAUUCAAUUUUCAAGCUCCUUACCAAAUUUUUUAUUUGAAUACAUACCCCAAAAAGGGGAGGGGUGCUGCNNNNNNNNNNNNNNNNNNNNNNNNNNNNNNNNNNNNNNNNNNNNNNNNNNNNNNNNNNNNNNNNNNNNNNNNNNNNNNNNNNNNNNNNNNNNNNNNNNNNNNNNNNNNNNNNNNNNNNNNNNNNNNNNNNNNNNNNNNNNNNNNNNNNNNNNNNNNNNNNNNNNNNNNNNNNNNNNNNNNNNNNNNNNNNNNNNNNNNNNNNNNNNNNNNNNNNNNNNNNNNNNNNNNNNNNNNNNNNNNNNNNNNNNNNNNNNNNNNNNNNNNNNNNNNNNNNNNNNNNNNNNNNNNNNNGGGGGGGGUUGUGGGGUACCUGAGUAGAAUAGCCAACAUGAGAAUAUUCUAAUAUCCAGUAAAAGCAGAUAAAAUCUCUCACGAACUGGCAUAUACAACCUCUCCUUCACCAUAAUUUUGCUUUCUAGUUUUCUUGCAAAUUUUACUGACAGUUUACAAAGGACUAACAAGGUCAAAAGGAGAAAUAAGAAAAACAAAAAGGACAAGAAGAAUGUGGUUGGACUCUAUAAUAAAAUUGAACCUGAUAAAUAUACAGAAAGAUAUUAAUGCCCAACAAACAAACUUCCCCUAGUCAAGAGUUGUUUCCAUUACUCAUGCAAUAGACAAUACAAAGCAAAUAAGUUAGUAUUUGCAAAGACGCACCUUCUUGAGGAUUAAAGAUAAAAUAAGGUAUAAGAUGAUAAGCAGCUUGGACAAUUUUAGGAAGAUCCCUUGCCUGCAUUUCAUUAGAGACAACCGUAAGAGUAAAAUAGAUCAAUCCAGAGUCAAAUAUGCUACUAAUUUAAAUUCAAGCCUAAAUGACUGACUUGAUUGCAAUUCAUCAUUGCUAAAUAUUGACUAGUUGUCAACAAAUUAACAAUGAUCUCAUUAAGUGUACCACAAACCAGACUUAAGUCUAGAACAAUAUAGCAGAUGGGAGCAUUUAAUUAGAUAAGUAGGAUUUAGCAUAAUUUCAAUUGAUCUGAUUAUGAGCAUACAGGACGCUGCACCUAAUAAAAAUAAAGUAGCCUCUAGAAGGGCUGCAACGGCCAAGAUGAGGAAAUAGCUUGUACAAAGACGACAUGUCAAAACCAAUGCAUCCAGAGGAAAGGUCACAGCAGUGUUAUGGGUAUUGUCAUCUAGCCUUUCAAUUCUUCAACAGUAAAAGAAUUUGGAAGCUAACUCCUUCAAGGAUCUUUUCUUGCAAAUCCUUUUUCAAUCAGUUGAUUGAUGAUUAAGAUCUCUUGAACUUUCAUAUGAUUUGAAAUGCUAAAGUCCCUAAUAAAGUUCAACCUUUUGCUUGGUUAUUGGCUCUAGGUAAACUUAGCACUGGUGAUGUUAUUCAAAGAUGGAACCUUAACGUGUGCUUGUCUCAUUCUUGGAGUGUCGUGUGCAAGAGAAAUGGUGAAAAUGCAGAUCAUUUGUUUUUGCAUUCUCAUCAGGCUGCUCAGUUGUGGCAUCAGCCAGCUAGUAUUUCUUCAGUGAUGCCAACUUCUAGGAAUUCUCCGCUUUCAGAAUUUAUUCAUACUUUUAGGAAAGGUGAGAAAGCUAGAGUGUUGUGGAAAUGUUCAGUUCUAGCCAUUUUCCAGGUGAUUUGGUUUGAAAGAAAGAAGGUUUUUGAAGAUCUAGGAACACAUCAUCUUUUUGUGGGAAAGAGUACAACUACUAACUUCUCUUUGGGCGUUAGUUACUAAGGAAUUCCAAGAUUCUUCUCUCUUCUUCAUUCAUCUAAACAGGGAAAGGGUGUUGGCUUGAAUUGUGUCUUUAAUUUGCUUUUGUUGUGAGAUCUUAUGGUAAUACAGAUCCUAUACUACUUAUAAAAUCUGAUCAAUAUUCUAUUGAAUAGAUCUUCUUUGAUCUCAAGGGGUUCUUUUUCUGGACGUUUUUCACUUUUGUACAUGUUUUUCUUCUUAACACAAGUUUCUUUGUUUCCUUAAGGAAAGAAAAAAGAGAGAGAGAGAGAGAGAGAGAGUUCUUUCCUAAACCAUACAUUGUUAUUUGUUAGUGUUUUGGUGAAUCAAAUAAGUAAAACUCUUUUUCACAUGUAUUAAAGCCACCCAAACCAAUCUCAUGCAAAGCCCAUCAAGAGGAUUUGGGGAGACAGAGACCAUCCAAACAUCUUGGCACCAUUGACUACCUCUACACACUGCCCAUUAAACUAUUCCUACUAUCACCAUUGCCAAUCUGCCAUCCACCAAUAGCUCACAGCAAGCAUCCAACAUGUAUCAUGCUACUAAACUUAAUCUGAUAUAGGACAUAUCAGUUUAACCAGUAAUAAACAUGGAUUCUUCAGAGCCUUGAGUAAGUUACUUGCAAGACCUAUAUCAAUUAAGUUGGAUUUUUUGAGUGCUGCCUCAGGAACUCCACAAUAUUAUAAUGGGCAGCAUUACAAUAUUGUGGAGACAACUGCACAAUGUUGCAAGAUGAAGAAGAUUUAUAAUGUCUAUAUCCUUUGCCAAUAAGAUAAAAGAAACCAAGAUGCACAAAGAAACUUACAACAUUUGUGGAGACAAUUCCAGGCGAUACACAUACUACAUUAAUCCCAGAUUCAGCAGGCAGUCGCUUCUGAAGGAUGCUACUAAAUUUAAUCUGCAAUCCAAAGGCCAACAGAUUGUUAGUUCCUCCUUUGCAGCUUAGUAAGUAUAUAAUGCAGGAUAUUAAAUCAAUUUUCAUUUCACGUGAUUGUACAGUUUGUAUCAAGCUUUAGAAACAACAGACAAACAAGAUGUACAUUGAUCUAGCAGCAUAGUGGCAACAACUUAUAUGGAAAAGUUGUAGUCACCAACAAGUGAAUGCUAUUAAAGAGAGUUAUAGCAUUCCUCCAAAUUCAGUGUUGUCUAAUUAAUUUUAAGUAUCAUUAAUGAAGAAGAAAGAUUUAAAAAAAAUUCCAGAGGUUCAAAAUGGAAGCACUCUCUAACAAUGAGAAAACUGAAAUGGAUGAGAGAAAUUUUCAGUUGGAGGACUGAACUGUUAAUAUUUUUUAUAUUUUACAUUUCUGUUAAGAGAAAUCAAAGAGAAAUUUACAUAUACUUUUUAUGAAAUUUAAUUCUCAAGUUUUCUCAACUACUGAAUUUAACAGUGACUGAAUUCAUUCUUCACAAUACACUUAAUCCGAUGAGCCUGUGAGCAAAAGAACAAAGCCCAAAUGUACCAACCAAUAGGUCCAACACAGUUUCUAGACUAAUUUUGCUUAAAUUUGCAUGUGAAUUGCUCAUAAAUGCCUUUUAAGCUACGGCUUCACAACUUUUGCCAAAAUGAAACACAUUUAUCCAUUAAAGUAGUUCAACUUUGCUCUGAUUCUAAAAAGUACCUCAUCAGGAGUAUGAAGAUAUGCUGAUGUAUGUGUAAAUGCAAAUCUGCAUUUGCAUGACAGCAUGAGUGUAAUUAUGCAUGUACGCAUGUCAACGUGUAUUAGAAUUUAUAUUCUUCAAGAAAAAAAAAAGGUUGAGAAAGCAUAUAAAAUAACUUUUUUUAAGGAGCAUAUAAAAGAACAUAUUAAAAUGACAAGCAUAAGCAACUUUGAUACAGGCUGAAAAUGGAGACUAUAACAAUUUCUUUGUUCAUUUAUUAAAUGAGGAUAAUCCCUCACAGUAUAUUGACUAGUACAAAAUAGUACUACUGAUUAAAGCUCAAUAAUUUAGUAGAUGAUUAACAGAUCCUUAACAGGAACUAGCUCCACCAUGAUUUCUUGAUUAUCAGAAAUACUUAAAACUAGAAAAUAAAAUAAACCAUGAAACCAACAACAAUUUUGAGUAAUCAAAUUGUUACUAACUUUUUGUUUCUAACUUCACCUGAGCUAACUUGCUGCCUGAGUAUCCCGUUAAGCUUGUGUAUUUUCUCUUCCCAGAAACAACAUUCAUAUCUUCUGUGUCAACAAAGCCAACAUAAUGCAUCUGCACCCAAAAUUAAGGACAAAUCACUUGGUGAUACAAAGGUAGUAAUGGAAAGGUAAAAGUAUAAGAAAGACUCACAUGCAUCACAAUAAAUCAACAAUUAAUUUUGAAAAAUCUCCAAAGCCUCCUAAUAGGUCUCCAGCCACAAACCCCAUACAGCACCAAAAUAUGCAAUGGGAAAGAUUUUGCGAAGUGCUAUAUUCAGCAUCUUCGAAUCUAGUCCAUUGUGUUUCAUACAACCCAAGAGACCAGAUUGGCAAAAAACAAGAAUCAAAGAUCCCAAGAAAUAGAACAAUGCAAUUUUCCUUUAUUUUUUUUUAAGGAAAAAGAGGGUGCAACCCAAUAUACAAGUAGUAAAAAAGAAUAAAGUCCAAUAAGAAACCAAAAAUUAAACGCUUACUUCUAAUUACUUUCUCGUAAAGAUCAUAGCCCAGUAAGCUAGGUUUUAUAAAAAAUAAAAUAAAAUAAAAUAAGGGACCUAUUGGAAAGAACUAUCGGCAAAAAACAAGAAUCAAAGAUCCCAAGAAAUAGAACAAUGCAAUUUUCCUUUAUUUUUUUUAAGGAAGAAGAGGGUGCAACCCAAUAUACAAAUAGUAAAAAAGAAUAAAGUCCAAUAAGAAACCAAAAAUUAAAUGCUUACUUCUAAUUGGUUUCUCGAAAAGAUCAUAGCCCAGUAAGCUAGGUUUUAUAAAAAAAUAAAAUAAAAUAAGGGACCUAUUGGAAAGAACUUUGGUAUUCAGAAUGUACCUCCCCAGAACACCAGAUGAUGAAAUUAACAUCAACUAAUUUACCCUUAAUGAGACAUAGAAGAUGAGAAAAUAAUCAGACAGUUGUCUGUUUAAUUUAUUCAAUAGAUAGAAAGGUUAACAUUGAAACUACUAUAAGGACACAAGUUGAAGUCAAGCUAUUUUCAAUAUCACUAUUCCACUGAUACUCCAUAAGAACACAUUCCAACAUUUCCAUGGCCGUGACCAUAAUCUCCAUAUGUCUACUUUCAAUGUGUUGCACCCAAUUGACCCUUACAAUCAAUAGACAUACAAUAUGAUGGGAAUAUAACAUCUUUUUUCAUCUUUAACAAUAGCAAACAUGCAAAAAUGGAAGUAAGUCAUGCAAAUAUACAUGUCCAUGUACAAGCAAGCAUAUAUAAAACAAAUCAGUUAAGGAACUUACAACAGAAUUCACAUUAAUAAUUCGACUUGGAGAGCCUCUAAUAAGUGAUGGAAAAAGCAAAAUUGAAAGUAAUGCUGGAGCCAGAUGAUUCACUUGCAUGUGCUCUUCAUACCCAUCUUUGGAAAAUUUUUGUGGUUCUGUACAGAGCAACAAAAAGUACAUCAGCAAAUGACACUGGGCUUUCUAUAUAUUGCAAUUGACCACUAUAAUACUUUUCAAUUGCAGUAGCUAAGGUUGCUAAAAAUUACAACUUUUCUACUAAGAGCACCUAAAUCAUUGGUAAUACUUAAGAGUGCUUACUGAACAACAAUCAUUCAAAAGCAAAACAGAUUGUCAUGGAAGGAAAGAAUUUCCAUGAAAGAAACGAAAAGAAAUAUGCAUAUUAAUUAAGACAAAAAGAUUUUUCUAGACAAUGAUCAUGAUCAUGGGAUCAACUUGAUUACUGGCCAACAUGAAAUUAUACUCACAAGGAUAAUAAGAGAAAAAGGGUGGAACUUCAAUCAGAUCAACAAGGUUCAGCCGAGGGCCAAAACUUUUUUAAGGGAAGGUAGGCUAGGAAAAGGAUUGACGACAUUUUUCCCUUUUUUUUCCAAACUCAAAUUAGAUCAGAAUCAAGUUAUCAAUAAUUAAAUUGACAUGAAAUUUUACAAAAAAAAAAAACCUACAAAUUAAAAUAUUCAUUCUAUCAUAACUGAAAAGAUUAACAAAACAAGAAUAAGUUAACACAAAGUUGUGAGUAAACUUUCUUCACCCUACUCACACUUUUACUCUACUCCUUCCAAAGGGUUUGUUGUCAAACAUGUGAGAAAGUCUCAAAAAUAACAGUUAUCUAUUAAUUGCUUCGAGGACAGCUUUAGAAAAUGUCAAAAAGUUAUACUGCUUCAGGAAAUAAGGCCAUGGUAUAUAGCUAUAGUGCUCAAGAUAUCAUUAUGGACCCUUCCAAAUAUCAUGACAAGAAUGUUGUCUCUAACAGCUCUUUAGUGUGUCAAUUUCCAUCUACUGUAGUGAAAUUACAUUAGUUCAUACAAGAAACUUUGUGCUGCACUAAAUGUUAAGGAAGAGGGACCCAGCAAAACAAGGAUUAGUACCAAGACUAAAACCAAAGUAUGCACUUAUUUUUCAAGAUUUACCUAUGUUAUCUCUUUUACAGGACAUCAUCUCUAUCCAGCUAUUACAUCUUUGCAUCAUCUAUUCGUGGCAUCAUACACCAAGGACAAACAAAGGAACUAUGGCAGAAAUUGGAAAUGCUGCCACCUAACUAGUUUGACUGUGGAGAUGGUGGUUAAAACUAAGAAACAACUUAUUUAGCCAUAAGCAUCCUCUUAGAAGGUUUAACUACACUAACAAGUGAAAUAAACAAUAUAUUUGCAUCCAAAAAAUUUAGAUGGUCUGAUGUUGUGGAUAAUGCAAAACCUCUCGACGAAAGCAUGUCAUAAGAAAAAAUAUUACUCUAUUAUUAAUAAGAAAAUAAGAAUUUGCAGUGAAUUCAAGAUUUGAAUCAUCAACAAGGAAGUAGAAUUACAUCUAAUAGAAUGCUCAAAAUGAAUUACCUCCAAUGGAAAAUAUGCCUGCAUUGUUUAUCAGAACAUGCAAAGGUCCUAAACGUCCAUUCCAAGCCUCGGAAAACCUCACAACAGAAUCCAAUGAGAGUAGAUCGAGUUCCAUAGCCUUGAGCAGGGAGGGAAAAAAAAAACACUCACUUCAGCCAUUUCGAACUAAAAUGCUAAACUAGCUAGUGAUGCGCAACUAAUUAAAAAAAAAAAAAAACAGUGGCCAGCAUUGUUGCAAGAGUAAAUAUAGUUUCCUCUGCAGCUGAGUGAGACUCAAAAGCACUUUUGGUUUAUUUCGUGACGUUUUCUUGGACAUACCAACAUAUUAGUCAUCAUGUACUCUGUUUCAAUAAAUUAAGCAGCAACGAACAGAGACUUAUAUUUAAAUACCUCAAUGUUGAGAGGAAGGCCCUUUCCAGACCAUUCCUCCUGCCAUUUCUGAAUCAACUCAUUAGCCGCCUUUAAGUUCCUCACUGCCAUAACUACAUGAGCCCCCGAUUCUGCCAAUUGCCUGCUCAAGCACAUAAAGUGAGAAAUUAGGGUUUCAAUACAACUGAAAGACUAUAAAGAAAUUGGAAAUGAAACUAAAGUUUAAUAAUUUAAAAAUAAUAGCUUUGUACCGGGCGAUUUCUCGGCCGAUUCCGCUGGUGGAUCCGGUGACAAUGCAGGUGAGAUCGUUGACAGGUGGCAAAGGCAGAGGAUUCUGCAAAUGACUGGCCAAUAUUCUUUGAAAUAGCAUCUCGUAUAUGACGUACAACCAGCCUCUUAGCCACUCCAUCCAUCCCAGGGCUUCCUUUCUCUUACUCUUGCUUAUUAGUUCCGCCGCUGACGGCGACGAAGUCGAAGAAGAAGACGACGUCGUUUCCAUCUCUUGGCCUUUAUCGGGUGCUUCUUUUUUAUUUUUUUAUUUUUUCAAAGAAUCUCAAGUAAGAUCUGUCUGCUUCGAUUCUGUUCCUUUUGUGUGUGAGGAGUCGAGAAGAGGGAGGAGCAUCUUUUUAAUUUAUUGUUUUCAAGAAAGUAAUUAAUAAUAAGGGGAAAGCGACAAAAAGGAUUAGAGUCUAAUACAGUCGUAAUCAACAAUUGAUUUGUCAUUUGACUUUCUGUUGGGGCUUUUUGAAGUCAAGUGGCCGUGCCCUGUCAUUAUUUCAAUUGGACCGACCCUUUUCGGAUUGGGAUUAUUAUUGGUUGAUUCCAAAUUAAAAUUAUUUUUAAAAAAUUAAAAAGUUAAUUUUAAUAUUUAAAAAAAAAACACACCGGUUUAUAUAGUGUUUAUUUUUUAUAGUGCGAGUGAGAAGUAUAAAUUCUUCUCACUCCAGUGUUUAUUUAUAAUUUUUAAAAGAGGAGGGAGAAUCCCACUCCGUGAGCCCCAUCUAAUUUUGGAUUGGGGAGUGGGAAUCCCAUGGAGGAUGUGGUAGUGGGAAUCCACUCCCUCUCUUUUUUUUUUUACUCUUAUAUUUAAAAUAAAAUAAAUAAUAUCAUAUUUAUUUAAAUCUGCUGNNNNNNNNNNNNNNNNNNNNNNNNNNNNNNNNNNNNNNNNNNNNNNNNNNNNNNNNNNNNNNNNNNNNNNNNNNNNNNNNNNNNNNNNNNNNNNNNNNNNNNNNNNNNNNNNNNNNNNNNNNNNNNNNNNNNNNNNNNNNNNNNNNNNNNNNNUACAUCCGCCUUGGCCGUACAGCAGUUUACAUAAUUAAGAAUAUUAUUAAUUAUUAUUAAUUUAUAAAUAUAAUAUAAUAAAUAUUUUAUUUUUCAAAUAUAUUUUUUAGCAAUUUUGUAAUUAAAAAUUAUAAUUCUUUAAAUAAGGGUAAAAUUAUAAUUUAAAAUCAUUUACUCUCAAUCCUAGACAAUUCCAUACUUUCACUCCAAUGUAAGUAAACAACCUACUCUCACUCUCAUUCCACACUCCUAAUCACAAGAUUCUCACUCCUCAAGAUUCCCACUCUAAUCCAAAAUGUAAACGAUACCUUAAUGUUUAAGAGUUAGUUUGGGAUUGCGAUAUUGUUGAUGAAAUAAGUUGUCUCAAUUAAGUUAAUAAAAUAAUAAUACGGUUGAUAAAAUGAGUUACUUUAGUUGAGCUAAUAAAAUAAACUGCUUCUAUUGUAUUGAUAAAAUAAGUUGUCGAACUAAAAAAUAAAAAUAAAUGUUUAGUAAAAUAUGUUGUUGUAAUUGCUAUAAAUUUAAAAAGUAGAGUAUGUGUGUUUAGUAGAUUUUAUUAUUAAAGUAUUGUUUCAUUAUAUAAUCAUUAAAAUUGACAUAAGUUGCCUGUUAUUUUCAAGUAAAUUUAAUAAAUUUUUUAAUUUUUUUAACCCACAAAUAUAGAUAAAUUAAAAAAUUAAUUUAAUUAUACUGAGCAUUAUAAUAUGUUAUAUAAAAUAUGAUAAAAUUCAUUGCCUAAUACAUUAAUCUAAAUAAAAAUAAAAAGUAAUAUGUAGUUGUGGUAUAUGACAGGGUUAUGAUUUUUACAAUAAGGUUUAUGAAAAAAAUGACAUAAUUUUCUUUUUGUUAAAAUGAUAAUGCCAUAAGAGGAAUUUUAAAAAUAUGUGGUUCUAAAAAGCAACCGCCUACUUUUAAAAGAUGGUAAUGAAAAAAAAAUAUGAAAUAAACAUCUUUUAAACAUUUUACCGAACAACAUUAUCAUCAAAAUUUAUGAAAUAAGUCGCUUUUAACAUUUCAACCGUAAUAUCAGACAGAACCUAAGUGUUUAACAUUUGUUUAGAUAUUUUUAAUUGGAUAAGUAUAAUAUUGUUGGCUCAAAUCUUAAUGUUUAAAUUUUCUAUUUUUUACUUUUACUUUGAUGAAUAGUAAUAUUAACUCAUAGGUCAACAAAAUUCAUGCUUGUAAAUAUGUUUGUUGAGAUUUGAAGUCCAGUCUAGUGUUGAGUCCUACCUUAAUAUAUUACAGUCAAAGAACAAAGCCGAAGCAAGGAAGUACCUACUAAGUUAACUAAGGAAUUGUUGUCAAUAUAAUUCCUUGAACAUUAGCGGAGUUUAAUGAAGGUUUCCCUUUUCUAACUAGAAUUUGAUAUUUUUGAAAGAUUUAUUUCAAAAAAAGAUUAAAAUUGUAUAUUACAUUUCGUUUGAUAUAUACAAACUUAAAAGAUGUAAAGGUAAACUUAAACAAAAAUUAAGGGCAAACGGGUGCAGAUUUGCCUUGCGAACUAAGAAAACUCUAUUGAUCGCUAAUUCUAAGUUAGAGCUUUCUCUUGCUUCUUUAAAAAAGAAUUAUUUAGUUUCUAUUAAUAUAUUUAUAAAAGGUCAAAACUAGGGUUGGUAACGGAUCGAAAUAAAACAUGUGUUCCAAAUCCUAUUUUGAACUUUAAAUUAAAACAAAAAUGUGUCUCGAUUUGGUUCUCGAAUCCUGAUUGGUAUCCUAAAAUAUUUCGAAUAAUGUAAGUUUUAUAUUGUACACUAUAGAUUCUGUCAUUACUGACAUGUCGCACUCCUAUAACCUAUAUGUGAUAUACAUUACUUAUAAAUACAACGUGUUAUAUAAUUAUAACCUACAUAUCAUAUAUAUUUUAUUUAUCAAACUGACAUGUCAUUCAUUUAUGAAGAUUCAGAUUUUGAGUGUUAUUCUAGAUUUCGAUGAGAAUUUUUAAAUGUCCUUAAUCCCGUUCUAAAUAGUUAAUCGAGACAAAUUUUGAUCUCAAACCCUCACCUAAAUAGUAAAUUCAAAUAAAAUUUUGUACUAAAUCCCAUUUCAAAUAGAUCGAGAUUCCAAAUCUUGAUUGGAAUUCGACAAAUUCUGCCAACCGUUGCCAAAACUCACCAUCCCUAAUUAGUAUUUUAUUAAUAAUUUUGUGUCUCUAAUUAUUACUUAAAGAUGCCUCCUCCAAAUGAAAUUGCUUACUCCCGUGAACGAUAUUUCAAUUUCAUAUUAUAUUAUUUAGUGUGUAUUGUAUUUUAUUAUAAUUAUUUAUCGUUUUCAAUAUUUAUAGAUGCCCCCCGUUUUCACAUAACCUCUCACGCAGCAGCGACGAUAGUAUAGCUCACUAUGUCAAAACGACAUUGACUCUUCAGGAAACGACCGGACCUUCCAAUAAAAUUGUUUGGAGCUCAAAUUUUGCCAAAUUCUUUGCAGAAUUGCAUCGUCAAAUUUCAAAUAUCCAACGGACAUUCAAAAAUGUGAAUUAUAUAAUAUGAAUUAAUAUAAUUUUCUCACACUAAUUUAUAUUACUUCUUCAAAAAAUAAAUUCAAAAAUUUACUCCCCUAAUAUUGGUAGAGAUAUGUAAAAUGAGCUUAUAAUGCUCUAAAUCAUUUCAUGCCUAAUGAGAUUAUGAGAGGCCGCAUACUCAGUGACAAUUAAUAUCAUUUCUUGAUAGCCAGCGGUUUAUACAAAUAUAUAUCAGUCAUUUUUUCAAGCAACUAUAUUAUAAGAUAAUAUACCUACACAACUCAGCAAUGUUUGAUAAGUUUUAUUGUUUUUUAGAUAUUUUUACUUUUUAGCUUUUGUGAUUUUUGAAUCUGUAAUCAUGUGUAAAUAUGAUUUUUUAUACUUAAUGUAUCAAAUCAUGUACGUAUUUUUCAUAUAUAUAUAUAUAUGAUAUAUAGAAAUUAGAAGAUACUUUAAUAUGCUUUCGGAGGGUUUAAAGCUUUGCGAAUUAAGAUAUUUAUAAUUUUAACUUAAUUAGGAUUUAGGAUUUAAGAUGCAAGUGUACUCAUUUUACAAUUAUGUUUUCAAUUAUUCUCCAUCUCUCUUCUAUUUACAGAAAUUUUAAAGUAAAUGUCUCCAUUAAAAAUCUUAAAUUAUAUAUGAGAACACAGUUGUGAUUUUAAUUUCUUUGUUCCAUAAUUCAGGCAUUGUCAAAUAGUUAAAUUUUGUUGACUUUCUGAUGAUGAUGCUUGGAAUAUGAGAUAAGCUACCUACUAAUUUCAUAAUUUGUUUCUUCUUUUGUUAAGUAAAAAAAAAUUAAAAAAAAAUACUAAUUGGGAUAUAAAAUUCACCACAUCAUGAAAUUUUAUUAUUUAAUUAAUAAAUUACAAAAAAGAAUGAUCUCCAUGGGAGGGAUCGAGCGACUGUGGGUAUAGUAAUAUAGACCAGAGUCCGUUGAGAAACGUAACGUGCACGCGCUGGGUAAGCGAGUCGCGACUGCUGCAUGCAGCCUCCACAGCAACCAACAAACAAACAAAACUAACCACCUGUGACACUUUUCCCUCUCUCUCGCGCUCUCUCACUCACCUCUGCAUAGUAUAUAAAGCGCACUCACUCUGCUCCGCCUUCAACACCGUCUCAUUUUGCUCGAUUCUCUUCUACUUCACGCUGCUGCUGGUACUCUAUCUCUCUCUCUAGAAGCUUCCAUUCUAAUUAUCACCGACCAAUCAAGCAUUGAUCAUCAUCGACAUCCUUUUGUUCAUGAUCAUCAUGAUUGACGAUGAUCAUCAAAUCAAUUCGAGAUCACUUGAUCUACUGUUCUUAUAAUCGUUAUUACUUUGUUAAUUUCCAGCUCCGUUUAUUUAGCAUUAUAUAUCGAUAUACAGAAACACAAGCACACAUCUCAUGCAUGCUUAAUGAACGCAUGUACGUUGUUUUUGUGGAGGUUAAUCAAUUGUUACUCUUUUGGUUGCAGGGAAAAUAUAUAUAUAACAAGAAGGAAAAACUAAUGCAGGCGACAACGAUGAUGCCUCGCUGGGCGGUGAAGGCGAUCUUACUAACUGUGAUAAUCUCCAUUCCGUUUUCCGGUGUUUCGGCGACUAACCACACCGUCGGUGGCCCCACCGGGUGGGAUCUCUCUUCCAACAUCCAAGCUUGGUCUGCUACAGCCACCUUCCACGUUGGCGACACUCUCGGUAUAUACAUUCAUCUUCAUGCACUUAUUAUGCACUGCUUUAUGCUUCAUUACUAGUGUUUGGCUGCUAGGAAUAUAUAUAUAUAUAUAUAUAAAAGAAAAUGACGGAUUCCUUUUUUUAUGAUUAAUUAGCUUAAUUAUCUCUAUAAUUAGCUUCAGUUACUGCUUUCAUUUUGUAUUUGAUUGUUUGGCUGCCGGGGAAAAAAAAUAUCAAAGAAAAAUACGGAUUCUUCUUUGUUGACGUUAAAGAACUUAAUUAACUGUGAAUGUAAUGGUCAAAUUUCAGUUGACUUGUACUUAAAAUUACUUAAAAAGCCCUGAGACGAUGCCUCGUUCCUUCUUCUACUUGUUUGGCGGGCGCGAAAAUUGAAAGAAAACGAAGGAGUGAUUUCUUUUCGUCCAAUUUCGCAGCAGCCAAACGACAACGUUUCGAAAACUGAAUUAGUGAAAUAGUUGUAAUUUUGAAAUUUCGAUCGAGGCAUAUUUGGUAAUGAAUAAACUAGUGCUUCUUUUAUAAAUUAGAGAGGGCAUAUUUGGAAAUGAAUUAAAUGGUUCUUAACGGAAUUGGAGGAUGUUUUUUUUAUUUUGUCGUGACUCGCGUGUGCAGUGUUCACAUACACUCCGCUGCACGAUGUUCUAGAGGUGAACCAACUGGAAUAUGCCACGUGCCACACGGUCAAACCAAUCGGUGCCCACAAUAGCGGCGACACCGUGGUGCCGUUGAUUGAACCGGGUACCCGCUACUUCAUCUGCGGGCGAAACGGCCACUGCGCCUCGGGCCUCAAGUUCCGCGUGGACGUCCUUCCUCAGCUCGAUGCCAACGUCACCCGCCGCACCCCGAGAUCACCCCAUCGUUCUCCGCCUUCACCGCCACUGCGCCAUCCCCCUCCUCCUCCUCCCCCGACGAACUCAUCGUCGGAUGGAAAAGAGCCAGACAUUCCUUCUGAUCCGGGCUUUGACUCUCCCGGACCUUGUGGGAACUCAGCUGUUGGCGAUAUGAUCACCGAUUGGUUCUCAUAUAGCUGGUGGGUCCCGCUGGCCACCACUCUGCUAGUCUCUCUUGACUUCCCAGGCUUUAGCUUUGCUUAGCGUUUGAUGAUGAUAUAUGCUCAUGACACCCAUGGUAGUAAAACUUAAUAAUGUCUGCAAAUAAUAAUUGGUGGAUGUUCAUUAUCAUGAUCAAUUUGUUAUACGGUGAUGAUUUGCCUGUCGGUUUUCUGAAAUGAUUGUCAAAUUUUGAAUCUUAAUUUGGUAUUUUGAUCGCUGUAAUUGAGGAUUUGGGGCAAUUUUGUUUUUGAAAAUAGCCACUUACUAAUGAGAGAAAUAAUUAUCGCAAGAUAACAAAGCUGUAAGUUCAGCAGGAGCUUUGUUUAUCUAAAAACAACAAUUUGGCUUCACCAAUGCUAAUUUAUAUAACUUGUGAGUCAUUAAAUUACAAACGCAGGAACAAAGUUAAUCACAACAUUAGCAACAUCCUUAGCCAACAUUAGGAACAUCCUUAGCUAGAUCUUGAAUCUCGUGAACUAGCCAUCCAAUCUCACUCCAGCUUGAAAGCUUGCUAGUAAUCAGGUUAAUCACCUUUUGUGAAUCCAAUUCGAUAAUAAAAAGGAUAAAUCCCUAUUAAUUUGGCCAUCUUAAAACCUUCAUAAAUAGCAAAUGCUUCAACAAAUUCAACGUCGUCCGGAAAGUGAUGUCUUCAAGUUGCUGCAGCCAUGACUCCUCCUUGAGAGUUCCUUAUAGUUGCUCCUAAAACCAACCAAUCCUCUAUAGAGCUGGGCAUCGGAUCAGAUUUGGAUAGUUUUGAUUCAAUUCGAUCUGUACAAAUUCAGAUCAGAUUUGGAUUUGCAAUCAAAAAUCAAAUCUGAUAGGAUAUGAAUUGUGUGAUCCGAUCGGAUUUGAUUAGAAUAAGAUUGGAUUCGGUUUGAUCCAAAUAAUCCGAUCGAAUUCACACACAAUUAUUUACCAUCACCUACCCGCCAUCUGGAAACAUUCUCUAUAACUUCUCUCCCCCAGAGUAAACUCCUCCGAAAAUACAAAAGGUUCGACCGCAAUUACUUUUCAUGAACUCCAAUAUCUAGCCUUGAGCACCCUAAAUAUUAAUGAUUUUGGACAAUGAAGUAACCUCCAACAUUGCUUGCCCAGAAGUGCUUGAUUAAAAGCUCCAAGCUCAUGAAAGCCUAACCCACAAUCUUUUUUCGUCACACGCAUCUUUUCCAAUCCAUCCAGUGAAUAUUUCUUGCUUGCACAUUAGAUUCCCACCAAAAUUUUGCAAUGAUUUUUUGAAUAUCAUCACAAAGGAUUGAAGGAAGCUUAGAAACACUCAUGGCCACAGCUUUGAUCAAAACCUCUUUGUACCCACUAGAAAACUUUCUCCUUCAAAUAAUGGAAUGUCUCAACAACUCCAGCUUGUCACAUUUUCAAAUUAGGAACAAACCAAAAAAAUAUUCUUCUUUACCUCCUUAUUUGAUUAACGAACAUAUAUGUGGCUGCAUUGUAUCCAAGGUUAGGAACCAGGAUGCUUUUGUUGAAGUAACUUUUGUACAACUGAACGCUCUAAAUCGGCAGCAAAAGCAACUGAGUACAUGGGCAUUUGAAGAUACAUGCUCAGAUUAUUCAUAAGUAGUAAAUUAUGGUUUCCUUUGGUGUUAUGACAAAGCUAUACAUUUACAUUUGACUACAAACAAGAUUUCAAACCUAAUCAAUUACCUAGACAAAAGGUUAAAUGUAUAAUUUGAAAAGGGAGAAUUUGAAACAAGAUUUUGAUACCUCCAGGCGGCAUUGGCAAGAUUGAUGGAGCCCUAAUUGCAGCACUCAAUUUGAUUGAUCUGUCAGUGGUUGGCGUAGAUUAGGAUGUAGACGCACAUCAGCAACAAGCAAAUUCGUUAUAGAGAGUGGGCGGAAGUUCACCAUUUACAAAGAUCCCAAAAGCAUAAUAAUGCGUUGGGUGUGACUAUUUAAAUCCACCAAUUUUAUUUUUAUAUCUUUUUUUAGAAUAAGAAUUUUAUUAUCUAAAUAAUUUUUAAUAAAUUAUUUAAUUAAUUAUUUCUUCUUCUUCUUUUUUCAUUUCAAUUCACAAAUUCUCAUCAGUCUCUCUUAAAUAUAUUCUCUUAACUGCAAACGAUUGAUAUUACAAAUUAAGAGGAAUAGAAUUUACUAUUUAAAAUUGAAUAUCAAAAAAUUUUUAUCAGCCAUGAAAGUUAAUAAAUAUCAAGAAAUUUAUUUUUUCUAAAUACAAAAAAAUAUAUAUAGAAAGUAUGAUAUGAGAGAUCACUAUCUAUUAAGAAAGGUCAAAAAAAUGAACUCAAAAGAGAGUGAAAUUAAGUAUAUAGUUUACAGAAUAUGAGAGUAGAGAGAGAAUAUGCAAUUGUAAGGUUUAAAAAAAAAAGAUUAGUAAAGGAUAAUUUUAAAAUCUUUAAAUUUCAAAAUUUUAAUAAUGAAUUUAUAUUUUAAAAUCGGUGUAGAGGAGAAUUUGAUAGGAUCAAAUAGUCCCACCCAAACCUACCUUUCAUUUCGAUUUCAAGCUUCAGAAAAUAAACUAGUGUUACGCUAUUCGCCUGCAAUUUUAUAUUUUCUAUAAUUUAAAUAAAUCUCCAAAACUAAAUCUGUUCCAGUGCUUUGAUCUAACAUAUAUAUAUGCCCAACAAUGAAUCUUGCUUUAUUGUUUAAUGUGUUGAAUGUAACACAAGAACUAAAGAACAGGCCUGGGAUUUUGGCUUCUUUUGAUGGCUUAGCAACAAGAUUGCCAGCGUCUAUAAUGAGACUGGGAUGUUUUGUUUUUGUUUUUUGUUGAAUGUAUUGAUAUAAGGAAAGUUUUUAACUUACUCCCAAAUAAAUUGAUAUUUUACACCGCGUCCCCAAUAAAUUUGACUUGUUGCACCGCGCCCCCAAUUUCGUUAUUUUCUCAGUUAAGUUUAACGGUGGAGGGGUAAAAUUGGAAGUUCAUUCCUUAAAUUAAUUUUAAUGGGAAUUCUCUUUAUUGCAAUUGAAAUAAAAAAAACUUUAAAAAAUUAAAGGAAAAUUAAUAGUGGUGACAAUGUACAUGUAACAAGAAAUUUUUUUAUUGCAAUUAAAAUAAAAAUCUUUAAAAAAUUAAAGGAAAAAUAAUAGUGGUGACAAUGUACAUGUAACAAGAAAAUUUUUUUAUUGCAAUUGAAAAAAAAAACCUUUAAAAAAUUAAAUGAGCUAAAUAUUUUGUUUUUUUUUUCAUAUAGAGGGGUAUUUUUAUCAUUCAAUCAAAAGUUAGACGGAGCCGUUAGAAAUAAUUGAAAAAUUAACGGAAUUGGGGACGCGGUGCAACACGUCAAUUUUUUUGAGUGCGCGAUGCAAAAUGUCAAUUUAUUUGGGGGUAGGUUAAAAAUUUCCCUUGAUAUAAAUACGGGCUGUGCUUCUUUCUAAUACCAACGACACAAUUACUGUUGUAUGUCAUAGUGAAAGUUUAAUACUGAAAUGUUGAUUUUUUUCAUUUAAGAUUUGGAUAAGAAAAUUUUAAUUUAAUAUUUAUUCAUUUACGAUAAAUUUUUAUUUAGAUCUUUUUCUUUGAUUCUUGUUUUUUUUUUUUAAAAAAUUAUAUAACUUCACGGCAAUGUACAAAUCUACAAAAUGGGUAUUUGAUUGAAAUUAAUUUAUUUUAACAUAAAAUAUUGAAGAUUAAAUUUUUUUCUAAUUUUCAAAAGAGGGCACGAGUUAUUUGUAGGGGAGUCAUGAUUCUAGGAGAAAAUAGCUGAGAGGAAUUCAACUUGAUAAUUCCUGACAUGAAAUUUCAACUAGAAAAUAGCUCAGAGUAAAGCUUUUCCUUAGAAGCCUUGAACAACGACCUGACAAACGGAGAUGUUCAUGAAUAUCUUAGGGAAGAAAAAUGAGUAACCCACAAGACGCGAUGCGUGGGUGACUUGCAGGGCACCCUGUUCGUUUAGUGCCUAAUACCAUUUGUUUUUGCAAUUUGUUUGAUUGGCAUAUAACCCAAAGUUUCUCCGCUUGGGUUGGGAAAAUGUAUUAUCCUCUAUUGAUCAAAUUGCUAUAAGCCUAUAACAUUCAGCAUAUCUUGGGCAUCCUUAUUACCGUAUCAUUACUUGACAUGAAUAAUGUUUUCUAUCUAACUUGAGGAUAAAAAUAACACAAAUAUAUGUAUUCAGUCUCAUCUUUUCUCCAAGCUGUCAUGCUUGUAACAUGCAACGAAUCCAAAUUCUCCAUUGUUAACUCAUUUGAACGAUUGUGAAAACACAUUAGAGAAUUCCCAGUGAAUUAGAGUCCUUUUCUUGUCAAAUCUAAAGUGAAAACCGGUAUGAUUUGAAUUUAGUUGGCAUUUUAUAGAAUGAAUUGGGGGACAUGGUAAUGAGACUUUGAAAAAAAAUAAAAAAAAGUAAUGAAACUUUAAAAAAAAAAUAAAAAAAAAUAAAAAUAGAGCAGAAAUCAUUUAUGAAAUAAAAUUCAACUUGCGUUUUGCCGCGAAUGGUGAUAUGUUGUUUGGCAUCUCAGUGAAGAAUUUUCAACAAUUGACAAAUAUAAUCCAGAAACUUAAUAAUAUUGAACAUAGAUUUUAAUUUAAAAAAAAAAAUCUAUCGAGUAUCAGAAUGUUAAUCACAAGAAACAAGUGUGAUUUUUCAGUGAAAUCCUGAGAUAAACCAAGAAUGUCUGUUAAUAAUUUUGUGCAUUUUUUUUAGGAAUGGGAUUUCAGCAUUUCUAAUUAAUAUGCAACUUUCUUAUAAAUUAAUUACAAAAUAUUAACAAAUUGUAUGCUUAAUUUUAACCUAAUUUUUGCCCAUAUAUUCAUCAUGCCUUUUACAAUGUCAACAGUUUAAAGUACAUUAAGCCAUUCUAUUGUACAUGAUACACAUGAUAUAUUAAUGGAAUAAUUUGAAGUUGAAAAUUUAAGUUGAAAUAGCCCACCCAAGUUUAUGGUUAAUGUAUUGUAAAAAAAAAAAGUUCAUGCUUAAUGUUAAGCUGUGGGGGGUCUUUGAUAGAAUCCUAAUUUAAAUGGAUAUAUUUUAUAUUUAAGAAAAAUAUGAGUACCUAUCUAAUAUUUACCUUUAUUCAACUGUUUUACCGUUGGAUAUAUAUAUAUUUUUUUUAAAUUUGCAAUGCCAAUUAAUUUAUUACAAAAAAAGAAAAGCAUUCCCCUGACUGAUGUUGAAAUCCGAAACCUAAAAUUUACGAAGUGCCCAAAAUAGCUUUCACCAUCACCACCGGACCGAGACAGACGGCCUCACCAUCCACGCGCCGCCGCCGAUUUUAAUCCACCAUCAGCUGCUUCCGGCGCUCUUUUGUUGUCAUUUCCGGUAAGCCCUUUCUUGUUGCAACUUUUCCAGCUUUCAUUUUUUUUUUAAAUUGUUGAUUGUUUCUGUUUGAAAUUUUCCAGCCACCGUAUUCAUGUUUAUUGUUUAUUAUUUAUGUAAAAUGCACAUAAUGAAAAAAUCAUUCAAUUUUUUUUUUACUAAUCUGAUCGCACGUAAAUUGAGAAGCAUGAAACACUAGAUAAAAAUGAAGUAAUGCACAAGGUAGAUCCUGCUCAUCAAUUAGUUGUAGUGAGCAAAUUCAUUUCAUUGCAGUCGCUGAUGUCAAAUAUGGAAGGGGAAGAAACCCCACACCGGCAAAUCCCCGAUGAAACCUUACAGAAGAAACACCAGUCGAUGAUUGACCGACUCGCAGCUCGGCGCCAAACUCGUUUAGAAACUCGCAAACCUGACUCACCCGACUCAUCCUCCACCUCCGCUUUUCUCUCCCGCUUCAAUGACUUUAAGAAUUCCAUCACCACCCAAAUUGAAUCUGCCGCUGAUCCUUCUUGUCUCACUGAUAUCUCAUCAUCAAUCUCGGACCUUGAAAAACUCGUUGCGGAGAAUUCGUACCGUCUCCCCUCCUAUGAAAUCCGAGCCUCUCUCAAAACAAUCUCUGAUUUGAGACAGAAUCUUGAUACGUUGACUGCCCAUAUUGUCCCCAAAAAGAAAUUCUCAUUUAAGAACAAACCCGUCAAAAAAGAAACCCACAUUAUUAACCAAGACACAGAAUGUAAUACUGUUUCGUUGCCAGAGUUAAAAAAGACGAGUCUCCCAGUUCGUGACUCGCCGGGUUUUAGAGACAAACAAAGCCAAGUACUAGUGAAGAACUUUAAGGGUUCAGAAAUAGGUGAAUUUACAAUAUCAGGACUUGACUCAUGUGAGGUGAAACUGGUUGGAAGUGUUAACGCAUUGUUUAUCAACCAAUUGAAGAAUUGUAAAGUUUAUGUAGGACCAGUGAUGGGUUCAAUUUUGAUUGAGGAAGUGGAGAAUUGCCUGUUGGUUUUGGCAUCGCAUCAGAUUCGGAUUCAUUUUGCAAAAAGGAGUGAUUUUUAUCUGAGGGCCAGGAGUCGGCCUAUCAUUGAGGAUAGUAAUGAAGUAAGAUUUGCGCCUUAUUGUUUGAAGUAUAAGGGAAUUGAAGCAGACUUGGAGGUUGCUGGGUUGAAUGAGGAGACAGGGAACUGGACUAAUGUGGAUGAUUUUAAGUGGUUGAGAGCGGUUCAAAGUCCCAACUGGUCAGUUUUGCCCGAGGAGGAGAGGAUUGGGACUGUUGAUUUGGUGGAUCUGGAAUGUGGGAAUGGCACAAUUUAGGUAACUUAAUGCUGUAUUGGGAUUUUUUUUUUUGGGAUAAUUUUUUUCAUUUGUGUUAAUGUUUCUUCUGAAUGGAAAUGGAAAGUAUUGAUGGAUAUUAUUGUUAUUGAUUUUUUUUUUAAUAAUGUUGUUAUAUAUAAGCUUAUUGGAUGAAAUAUAAUGGUUGUUUUUCCUCUGAUUGGAUUAUGGAAACAUGAGAAUGAAUAUUUGACUAGUUAUGUUUGCACCUUACAGGUUUGGGCAUUUUUUAUUUUCUUUCGUCAUUGCACCUGGCUCAUGUUUUAACUUCACAAACUUACAUAGUUUUUGCUUGCGUAUUCUGUUAAACUUAAAAAUUAAACUUCUUCUGGAGACUGAAGGACUUACAUUAAACACAGCUGGCACAAUUUGAGUGAUUAGUACUGCUGAUGUUGUAGCCAAUUGUAAUGCUUAUCUAACUGAACUGUUCUUUUUUUUUUUGGAGUUUUAGAGUUCUAGCUUCUUGCAAGAAUAUUGAAAUUGUAGUUUUUCAAUUUGAGUCCAUACAGCUGCAUGUAUAUGUAGUAAAGAUUAUGCACUUGCAAAGUACUCUACAUAAAUGCUUUCUUCUCUCCCUAUAAAAACAGUGUGAAUGGUGAACAAUUGGGUUUAUUGCUGCUUGUCAGCUGAAAACUAAGGAAACAGUAACAGAAAAAGCGUCUUUUACUCUUCCUUUUUUUUAAAAAAUUUUUUGGCUAGAAAUUUUAAAACUUAAAGAAGAUAAUAAUCAGCUCAAAUCAUAGCAGUCAUGACUCAUCAUUCCUCAUGAGAAUCAACCAAGUAGAAUGACUAUUUAGUAUAUUCCAAACUAUCAACUGAUAAAAAAAAAUUGUCAUAACAAUUGUAUCACAAUUUAUUUAUUGAGAUAAAUAUGAUUAAGUUAGAAGAAAUAUUGUAAAGACCUCCAAAAAUUCUGUUACGGUAGCCAGCAUUGCCGACAUUUUCAAUGCUAAAGUAUUUCUUGCAUUGGGAUAUGUUUACCAAGACUUUUCUGGAGCUUGCAGCUUACACCAUCUCUUAGCACGUCGAAUUGAAUUAGGUCUUCCCUUGCUCUGCAUGACUUUUUAUCAGUUAUAUUGAUUUCCGAAUCUUCAUUUUUGGGCUAUGAUUUUGCAUUCUUUUCUGUGUUGACAGCAAUUGUUUACUGUGUGCUCUAUUUUAGUUUAUGAACCGUGGUUUGGUUGUAACUGUUGCCAACGCCUACUGUAAAGACAAACAGCUUCUGGAUAAGAGAAUUAUUAGCAAGCGUUGUGUGAGCUUUAUUUAGGUAUAUAUUUUCAUAACCUAAGUUAUGCCUCAAUAAUAAAUGGAAAGAAGGUAAUCCCAUUGAUUUGCACUUAUCCAAUGGAGUUCAUUGGCAAUGUGAUGGUAGAAGUCAACUUGUUGCUAGUGUAAGAUUCUUUGGGGAAGAAAGCAGAAGGGGACUUGAAAAUAAUUUGUCAAUAAUAUCGGGUUAUUAACGUUUGCUUGGCGACCUGUCAGUUUAGUGAUUGACCUAUACAACGGAACUUUUUGUUUCUGACUUAACUAGUGGCAGUGAAGUCUGUGGUGGGGGUUGAUGAUGUUUCAGGAAUGCUGCAGCAGCAAAGAGACAGGCAUGUUGGCACCCACAGCAGUGUGAUGACCUACUUCCUAUUCAAUAUACUGUGCAGUCAUUUAUCUUCCACUACAAUGACCUGGGCCAAACCAUCGUGUGAACAGUAGACAACUUCCAGUUUCUGCUUGCUCCAGUCACCAUCGCUCGUAAAAGCGCUGUGGUCCUCCCUGAGGCACCCUAGUGGAAAACAAAGAGGCGGCUCCAACACAAAUCACAGCAAUUGGCCAGUUCUAGUACAAAGGUGAGUCUUCAGGAUGCUGGUCGUGGUAUAUUCCUUUGUCCUUCAAAUUAUUUGGUAAGUGUUGGCUGUGGUCCAAAACUUAAUGAAUGGUAAACAACAUACCAACCGAAUAGUUGGCAGUGAUAAAGAUUAGUAGUUUGGUAUUAUUGCUUCAGAGCAUUUUGAGACACUGGUUGAAUAUGACAAAUUCUAUUUAGAAAUGGAGAUUUGAUGAGUCAAAUUUGGCAUUGGUCUGAAAUCGUUGUUUUGAGUUUGCAGGGAAACUGUGAACUGAAUUUAGUCUGUUGAGUGUUUUCUAGUUGUUUAGAGAUUCGUCUUGUUGGCCUGCUUAUUUUUGGUUAGGUUAUACGAUUUUGCAAUUUUGUUUAAUUUUUGCUUUCCUCUAGAUUGAAAGGAAUUUGCUUUUGUGAGUGUAGGGAUCACAAUUACAAUGCUCGCCAUCAGUGUCGUGGUGGUGAUUCCUAAACGGGAUGUGUCGGUCUUAUUUAAUAUUGAGGUGUUAUAGUUUAAAAAGUUAUCGAUCUCUUAAAAAAAUUAAUUAUGAAAUUAAGGUUAAUAGUAUGUAGUAAGUAAAAUUUUUAAAUAAUAAAUUUUAUAAAAUUAAUAAACAUAUUAUAAGUUUUUCAUCAUAUAAGUGGUGAAUCAAAUUAAUUUAUAAACUAACUAUAAUUAGUGUUUAUAAAAUCUUGUAACUUUUCAUCCUCAGUAUUAAGGUAGCAUUUACAUUUUAAAUUGGUGAGUGAAUCCUAAGGACUGAGAAUCCUAGGAUUAUGAGUGUGAAGUAGAAGUGGGAGUAUGUUGUUUACUUACACUGGAAUGAGAGUAUGAAAUUGAAAUUAGAAUUUAAUUAAUGUGUUUACAUUGUCUUGGAUUGGAAGUAAAUGGUUUCAAAUUACAUUUUUACUCUUAUUUAAAGAAUUAUAAAUUUUAAUUACAAAAUUAAUAAAAAUAUAUUUGAAAAAUAAAAUAUUUAUUUUAUUAUAUUUGUAAAUUAAUAAUAAUUAAUAAUAUUCUUAAUUAUGUAAAUCAUAAUUUUUAAUUAAUUUAAAUUUAAAUUAUGUGAAUAAAAAUGAUUAAUAAUAGCAACACAAAUGAAACAUUAUUAUUGAUAAUAUAGUACAAAAUUAAUAUUUUCUUANNNNNNNNNNNNNNNNNNNNNNNNNNNNNNNNNNNNNNNNNNNNNNNNNNNNNNNNNNNNNNNNNNNNNNNNNNNNNNNNNNNNNNNNNNNNNNNNNNNNNNNNNNNNNNNNNNNNNNNNNNNNNNNNNNNNNNNNNNNNNNNNNNNNNNNNNNNNNNNNNNNNNNNNNNNNNNNNNNNNNNNNNNNNNNNNNNNNNNNNGCCUUGGCCGUACAGCAGAAAAUAAAAUAAAUAUCAUUUAAAUAAAUAUAAUAUUAUUUAUUUUAUUUUACUAAAUAUAAGGGUAAAAAGGGAAGACAAGGGAGUAGAUUCCCACUCCCACCUCCUCUAUAAGAGUGGGAAUCUCACUCCCCACUCCAAAAUUAGAUAGGGUACGUGAAAUGAGAUUUUUAUUCUCCUUAAAAUUUAUAAAUAAACACUGAAAUAUGAUAAAUUCACUCUCCUCACUCCUACUCCAAAAAAUAAACACAACAUAAAUGAGAUAGGCUUGGGAUUGAACCAACACCAAUAACACAAGAAAGUUUUUUACUUUUACCAUGUCAUGUUUGAGUUGAUUUGAUGGUGAAGAGCCAAACUCAUUUAUCUUUUGAUUUUCUUGUUCUGUUUUUUCAUAUCAGCUCAUGUGACAAACAUUUGGUAAAUUGUUGAUAUUUCAACUUUUCUUCCAUCAGAUUUUAAAUUCAUUGUUGAGGCACCAAACUGACUAUCUUUUCUAGAUUUAAUAUCCCAACCAGCUGAUUGGAAUGAUUAAAAUUUGGUGAGUGGCAGACAAAAAAAAACGCUUUCAAUUAGGCCAAUUUAAUGCAAAAUUCUCUUUCCUUUUCAAAAUUACUAAAAGCUAAUUUUAAUUUUCAUUGGCAAAAAGGAAGGGCCAGACAGAUCAUACCAUGGGCCAAAUGUGGGAUCAGCAACACCCCAGCCACAACAACAACAAUAAAGUGAUAUUAUUAUCAUGAUUAAUGUCGUAUUAAUAACAUUAACAUGAUUAGAUGUUGGAGAUAUAAAGUUUUAUGAUUUUAAUCAUUCAAAUUCUGCUUAGAACAGAGUAAAAAUCGGUUUAAAUUCUGGUAUUAUUUAUUAAAAAAAUGAUAAAUUUAAAGCCUAAGAAAAUGCAGUCUUGGGUUUUGAUUCCCUUGCUGAGUGCCGGGCCGAAGACUAUGUAUAAAGAGAAUCCAAGCAAAAGCUGUCAGCAAAAGCACUUUUCUUUACUGUAAAAUUUGACAUCUUUUUUUUUUUUUCCCACUUUUCUUUACUGUAAAAUUUGACAUCUAAUCCAAGCAAAAGCUGUCAGCAAAAGCACUUUUCUUUACUGUAAAAUUUGACAUCUUUUUUUUUUUUUCCCUUCCUGAAAGACACAAACACGUAUUGUGAAAAAAAAGAAACCCCAUUCUGCUUUUGCUUCUGCUUCUGCUUCUGCUUCUGCUUCUGCUUAUGGAAUCGUUUACCUUGAAUUGAAAAUGAGAGUGAUAAAAACCAAAAGCAGGUAUUUGGGAUCCAGCUUUUUGGUGAACCAAACAGAGAAAUGGCAGGGUCCCUAUCUUACAACACCUACCGCAAAAAGAAAAGGAGCUUCUUCAAUUAUGAUUCCAUUUCAUCAUCCAAACGACAAGACAAAACACAUUCAAAACAAGACAAAACAUAAAAUAGAAAAUAUAAAUAGAUAUUAACAAAGAUUGUAAUGUCCUUUAUAAAAUAGAAAGAUUCUUCCAUUGAAAACAUAAUGCUGUGACUUCUACACCAAUGGGCCUUUGAUUUAGUGGGAGAGGUUUUUUCACUUACAUUGGUGGGAAAAAAGUUUGAGCCUUCAUAAAAGUAUUAUAAGGGUUAAUUUUAAUUUUCUUUUAAUUAUUAAAUAAUUGAGUUGAAAUAAUCUUUUUUCUCAUAAAAUAUGAGUGGAGUGUACACUCCAUGAAUAUCAGAGAAAGUUUAAAAAAUCUAGACAAUACUUUAGAAGACAUUCAAUUUGCACGCCAUGAGGAAAUCGCAGUUGUAUAAUAUGUUUAUAAAUAUUAAUUGUAAUCUCUAAAAUAAUAUCAGUAACGGUCAUGUAUAACAAUAUUUAAAAAAAAAAAAAGAAUAGAGUGACUUAUAGACAAGUCGGUGUGUCGUCAAAAUAUGUCUAAAAUUUCCAUUUUUAUUUCCUUUACUCAGUUGAAAAUUUUAUAGGUGAAAUCAAUUGGAUCUAUUAAUUUUUAUAUUACAAUAUCUUUUUAUUUAAGAAUUUUAUUAUCAAAAUAAUUAUUAAUAAAAAUUACUUAAUUAAUCCUUUUCUCUCUUACUCUUUUCAAUUUCACAAAUUCUCAUCAAUUUAUUUAAAUAUAUUCUUUUAGCCGCAAACAAUUGAUAUCACUUAUUAAGAACAAAACUUGCUAUUUAAAAAUGAAUAUCAAUAAAUUUUUAUCAAUCAUGAAAGUUAAUGAGUGUCAAGAAAUUAAUUUUUGCUAAACAUACAAGCUAAUAACUAUUAAAAAAAUCUUAAAUUAUAGAGAUCAUAUAUAUUAAGAAAGAACAAAAAAAGAAUUUAAAAAAUAGUUAAAUUCAGUGUAUAGUUUGUAGGAUGUGAGAGUGGUAAAAGAAUAUAUAAUUGUAAAAUAGAGAAAAAGAAAAAGAGAUUAGUAGAGAAUAAUUUUGAGAUUUUUAAAUUUUUAAUUUUUAAUAAUAAAUUUAUUUUAAAAAAUAGGUGUGGAGAAAAAUUUGAUGGUUUCAAGCAAUUCCACCUAAUUUUAUAUUAUCAAUACACAAAUGAAAGUACACAAAUACCUCUAAUAGAGUGAAAUAAAGAGUUCUCUAAUCUCUAGGGUUUCUCAUUCCAAUUUUGAAAUUUCCCUACUUUAUUUUGAAUUAACCCUCUUUGUUACCAUUGAAUUGUAACAUUCAAAAUUUGAAUAUGUUUUUACAAAUAGAAGAUUAUUGGGACAAAAAUAAUAAGAAAUAGAAAACCUAGUUGAAAAAGGAUAUUACAAAAAAAGAAAAAAAAAUUCCCAUUACCAUUCAAACAUUUACACAGUAAAGGCAUUAACAGCAUAAGGCGGCAAUAAAACUUACUCAUAAUAACAAACAGAUAUAGAUAGAUGGAUGGAUGGCAUUUUUGAAAUUUACCUUAAAAACCAAAACAAAAGCAAAAAUAUUAAAAUAUUACACCAACUGCUAACUAAUUAAUCUAAUUAAACGCCUCGCUUAAUCAUUUCCAGUCCACUAAACACGCUGAUCGGAUUCCAGCCUCUGAAGUCUCAUCUCAUUGUUAAAUUUCUUGAUGAAAGCUUCAACUCGCCGAUUCAAUUCAUCUUGACUCAUCGAUUCCUCCCUCCUCAACGACGUCCUGUCACUGAACGUCUCAGAUUUCCUCAGCUCACGUUUCGCCCAAGCCGUCGGAUCAUUCUCAUCAUUAUCACUACCACCGGCGUCCGCGGAGGCGGCGGCAGCCGGAGAGAGCGCAUCCCACGUGUCACUCUUCUUCAGCUGUGGCUCCGCUCGCUUCCCUUGGCCUUCCGUUAUCAGCUUCCAUGUUUCCUCAAGACUGCCGUCAUUUUCGUCCUCUGUUUCCGUUUGAUUCUCGGGAAAAUCCUCCCCUUUUGAGGCUGUUUCUUGAGAUGGAAAUGUUCGUUUUUCGGUAACCGAAGUGGGUCUUUCUUCUUUUGCUUCGUCUUCAACGAUCAUGGCCGGUGCGGUGUUUUUCUUGAUGCCAAUAUGUUGCUGCUGCUGAGUUUUGUAUGUUUUGUUCAUUGGUUUGGUUAUGGUGUGAGCGUGAGUUUCAUCAGAUGGGUCGUUUUGGAUGUGGAAGGUGGAAUAAGCGGCGAUGGUGAUGAUGAUGAAGUUGACUAUGAUGUAAAUGUACGGCGGCGACAGCCAGAACCUCAAAGAAAUGAAGAGGCUAGGGAUUGUCGAUACCGUGAAACAAAUGUACGGGAUUAUUGCCACCUUAAACAGCAUGAAAGUUGAAACAAACCCGGCUGACAAAAAUAACAACUUUGCUGCCCGCGUUACUGUCUCUAAUCUGCUUGAUUUUGGGUCGAAAUUUUUAAAAAGAUCCCCCAUUUUUCAAUUUUCACACACAAUAAAGAAGGAAAAAGAAAGGUAGCUCGAUUUUUUUUGUUUUUCAACAAGGGAAAAAAUAAGAAAAGAACAUUAAAAGGAUUUUUCAGGCUUUGAUGGUCAUUAAAAAGAGACCCAGGAAGCCAUUGAAGCUAAAAAAAAAAACGAGAAGCCAUGUAUUUAUUUAUGCUGCUUUGCUUUACAAAAUCUGACUGGCAUCAGGGAAAAAAAAAAGUGCCAUUUGUUGGUACAGAGAGACAGAGGAGAGUAGAGAGGCACAGAGUUAAGGGACCAUUGAAUGGGCAAAGCGAGGUUUCAAUUUAUGUAACGAGGGACGAUUAAAGUUCUUGCAACUUUCCUGCCGUCUGAUGAAAUCUUGACCGUCCGAUGCUACAAUAAUGGUUAUAAUGAUCUUGAAAGUGUUGGAGAGAUAAGUUGUACAGAUUAAUGAACGCUAAAUAAAAUCACAUUUAAAAUGGUUUUUGAUUUUAUUCUAUUACAGAUUACUUUUAUUAAAUAAAUAAAUAAAUGAAGGUACAGUGAGUGAGUGAGUGAGUGAGUGAGUGAGUGACUUCACGAUUUUGCACCAACGCCGCUGUGUUAUCCUCCGCGGCGCUUGUCCUCAUCAUUUGUAAUUGAAAAGCUGAUUUAAGAUUUUAGAAUAGUGCCUUUUGGAAAAUAUAUAUAUAUAUAUCAACGGCCGUUUGAGAUUUCUUUUUUGAAGAUUUAAAAUUAAUUUUUUUAAAAAUUAAAAGUUAUUUUUAAUAUUUUAUAAUUUUCAAAAAAAUUAUUUUUAGUAAAAUCACUUCGUAGUAGAUUCCGGGAAGUAGAUAUCUAUGCUUUUUAAAUUUUAAUUUUAAGAAUUAAUUUUAUACUUACUNNNNNNNAGCAGAAAAAUAUUUAUUUUCAGUUAUUAUAUAUACAAAAUAAAAAUUAUUUUAUAUAUAUUAAAUAAAUUUUAUUCAAUAUUAUAUUAAUUUCAGUCAUUAAUAUUCUUACGGUAGUUUAAUUGUAACAUUUACUAAACAUAUAUGACUACUUUUAAAACUUAUAGUAUUUCUAAAAAUAAAUUUUACAGACAUUUAACUAAUUUUAUUCGUAACUGAUUAUUUCCAUAGCAAAGGCGAUAUAGUAUUAUUAAACUGGAACAUAGCUUUUGAUUUGUCUUUUCAAGCCUUUUAUAGUCAAAAUAGGUUUAAACAAAACAAAAAUUUCCUAUUACAUCUAUUAGGCUAAAACCUUCUUCACCAAUUACAUGCAUUUUUUAAAAUCUAUCAGGUACAAGUGUUAAAUUUUCAUUUGAUAUGACUACAAUGCGAUAUGAUAACUUAAAUUAUCAUCCUUAAAUCUUAUAACAAUAUCUUAGAAAAUUAUCUAAUUAUUUAAGUUAGCAUAUUUACUCUGAAAAAAAAAAGCAUCUUCUUCUAGAUAAUCAUGGUCAUAGUUUAACUUUUUUAAAACUAUAUUUUGGCUAAUUUAUAAAAUUAAAUAGAAAUAUACUAAAUAGUUUUUAGUCAAAUAAGUAAAUUUUGGACGUGAGAUAAAUAAUUUCCAACAAAUACCAUAAACCAAUUUUUUAAAGAAAAAUAAACACCUUUAUAGAAAGAAAUAAUUUACUUAAUCGUCAGAAGAAUAGAAAGGGAGAUUAAACGCUUAAAGUGACAAGUGCAAAACUAUUUAAAAAUAGUCAGUAAAAGUAUAGGUGGGCAAUCAGUUCAAUUCUAUUUGAAUCAACUAAAUUAAAUUAUAUCGUGUUUCAUAAACUUUUAAAGCAACUGAUUUUUUGUUUGGUUUAGAUUAAAAUUAAACUAAACCGAAAAAUCAAACGGUUCAAAGAAAAAAAAUUAAAAACAAAUUUUAUAAACUGAUUGGUUUCCCUUAGAUUCAAUUCCAAAUCUAAACAAACAAAUCAAAAAAAAAAAAAAAACCAAUCCAAAGUAAAAAUAAACUUUUUUGUUGAAUGCACUUUUAAUUUGUUUGGAUACGUCUCGACCCUCGAGUCUCUCGAUUAAAGUUAAUUUAUUAUUAUUGUUUUAUUUUAACCAUAUCCUCAAGCAAGGCCGAUACUCAAAAGAAACAGAAAUAAUGGCAGCGUUUGGUGAAGCUCUUUUUCCCAAAAUUUAAGCAAGAGAAUAUUUUAUUUUAUUUUAUUUAUUUAUUUAUGGCCAUUAUUUAUUAUUAUUUGUCGUUUGUCUGACCCCAGGAAACAGCUACGCUAUGCUACCAAGCUUCUGUUGCUCAAUAGUCAUUACAAUGGCUUAUUAAAAAAAAAAGAUCGGCCUCAACAUUGUAUGUAGAAAGUUGCGAGCAAAUCAGGAAUCCAGAAAAUGACAUUUAUUCAUUUUUGUUUGAACGUUUAUUGAGAUUAAUUAUUACUUACAGCUAAUAUAUAUCGUCUACAAGCUUCUACCAUGCAAAAAAAAUAACCCAUGUCUCUUUCUUGAAUCAUCCCUACAAUGAAUUCUUAGGUUAUAGGAGUUAGGCGUGUUUGAUGAUAAGGGGGAUAGUGUGGCCGGCACUAGCAUUCAUGUAUUAUUUGACCACUGUACUCUUGUUAUCAUAUCAUAUCAACUUGCAAUAAGAACAGGGACUUGCAACACAGCUAGCAGCCACGAACUUUAUUUAUCACAUGGUUAAUUAAUUUUUACCUUACUUCAUUAGAAAUGUUUAGACUAAUCUUAAUUACUAUUGCUAAGAUUCUUACUUACUUAUCAAAUUAAACUUUUGGGUCAAAUUAUUUUCUCUUAUAUGAUAUGAGAAUUAACAUCUCAAGUUCGUACAAACUUAUUACAAUGUUAGUUGAUGUUAUAAACAAGCUUUUUUUUUUUUUGGUCUGAAUCACGAGGUGGUUUAGAGUGAGCCCCAACUGUGGGAAAUACCUUUAAGUCCGUACCACAACCCAGACUAAUUCCCGCUCGCACCAAGUUGACCCGUAAUGAGUAAAGUGCUGGCCAAAGUGGUGACUCCAUACUAGAGCGGGGCUUGAAUCCCUGACCUCUCUUAAGGAGUGAGAAUGUCGAACUACUCACACCAACCAACUUUGGUUUAUAAACAAGCUUUUAAGCUAUCAUAAUUCAUACAAAGGAAAUUAUCAGUUAUAUAUCUUUAAAUGACACUCGUAUUAAACGUGUGUGAACAUUUUUCAAGUGUUUCACUCGUAUGCCCUAAGUUGACAAAACAUUUUUUCCGUCCAUCAAUCCGUUAACAUCGGUUUGCAAGCGUUGACAUCAUAAGGGUAAUCUAGUCUUUUAAUAUUGACGAAGCUUUGAUUAAAAAACGACAUGUCAUCCCAUUUACCUAGUAAAAAAUGACAUGUCAUAUGAUAUAUAUUGAUAAAAAUGACAUGUCAUCCUAUUUAUCGGAUAAUUAUUAAUAAUUGCUAAAAAAAAAAUUUUACAACCGAAUCUACUCUUCCAAAAUUUAACCUAAAUUUUUGAAGAUCUACUCCUCUAAGCUCCAAUUGAAAAUUUUUAUGGUAUAAUAUGUAUAAUUGUAAAUAAUAUAUUGUUAAUAAAUUUUUAUGGUAUAAUAUGAAUAUUUUUAAUGAAAAAUUGUUAAUAAUAUGUACCAUUAAUAAUUCAUUUUCUUAAUAAAAAAAUAAAAAAAUUGUGUAUUAAAAAUUUAUAUUAAUUUUUGGGAUAAAUUUAUCUUUUUAACUAAUUUUAAGUUUCAAGGACAAAAUAAUUAAUUUACCACAAUUUUAUUAACUUUCUAACGGAAGUUAACAGAUUGAUGUACGGCAGAAGUGUUUUGUUAACUUAGGAUAUACGAGUAAUAUACUUAAAAAAUAUUCACACAUAUUUAAUACGGAUAUCAUUUAAAAAUAUAUAACCAAUAAUUUUCCAUCAUACAAUUAAAACCCUAUUGAUUAAGUAUUAACGACCCGAGUCUUCAAAAACAUAAAAAUAAAAGCAAAUUAAGUACGAGAAAUUCUCGCAGCAGCAUGCUGUGAUUGUCCUUUCUGUCAAAGUCACAAGUCUUUUGUCAUUCAAAAUCAGCGUCGAAUCAUUUUGCUUGUUCUAGGGUUUAAAAGACAAACUCAAGCCAGUGAGGCACAGCAUAUCUCUCCGACUCUGCCAGGGGGCCCCUUUCCCCCACGUUCGCUUUCCGAAGGCAUUUACCAAUAAACCAUUCGUUGCUCCACGGGAUCAAGUGAAGGUAUUUUUGCACAAGCUUUGAAUUUUCUUCUUAAGUUAUUGUAGAAGAAUUAUGUUUUGAAUUUAUUUUAGCCACUGAAAUAAUAUAAUUGUUUAACAUCCUAAUUUUAUUAGUAAAAUUAAAAGAACAACACAGCUGUAACCCUUCAAUUUGAAUUUAGUGUUGUAAAUAGGAAGAUGGCUAGUUUUCUCAAUUGAAAUCAAUAUAUAACAUUUAUCUCUUAAUAUUUUCACCAUAGUCAAUAACCCAUCGGACAACAUAAUUUUAUAAUAUUAUCCUUAUUCUAGAUAUACUUUUAUUUACAUUUAUUAUUAAUUAAAUAAAUUAUAUAAACAUAAAUUAAAAAUAAAAAAAAAAUUACUGCUGUACCGUACAUCCGCCUUGGCCGUACAGGUAAAUAUAUUUUCUUUUAAUAAAUAUAUAUUUUAUAUUUUCAAAAUAAAAUAUUUAACAAAUGACUCAUUUACUCUUCUUUUUCUUUAAAUAUUUUAUGUUACGGAGUUAUUGUCUAUUAUGAAAUCAAUAAGAAUUAUGAAAAAUUUGUAGUAUUUGUAAUAGAGAUUAUCCAUUUCUCCCUAUACACACACACACACACACACACACACACACACACACACACACACACACACACACAACAAAAUUUUCAUUCUGCAUCACAUACCUAUGCUGCGUUUACUAAACUAGAAUCAGAAUGGGUAGGAAUGCGAAUGAGCUGGAAUGGGAAUACGGAAUGAGAAUCAAAAUAAGUCAUUUACUUGAACUGUAGGGAUCGAAAUCGGAAUGAGCUGGAUUGCCAUUAAUGUGUUUACUUUGUCUUGCAAUCGGAAUCAGAAUGAGUUAGAUUGUAACAAAUUACUAAAAAGUACUUAAUGGAUUAUUGUCAAAAUUAUUAUUAACUAAUAUAUUAAUUAAUUGUAAAAAUUUAUAAUUAAUUAACUGCUGUAGGGCCAAGGCGGAUGUNNNNNNNNNNNNNNNNNNNNNNNNNNNNNNNNNNNNNNNNNNNNNNNNNNNNNNNNNNNNNNNNNNNNNNNNNNNNNNNNNNNNNNNNNNNNNNNNNNNNNNNNNNNNNNNNNNNNNNNNNNNNNNGUAUAAUAGCAUAUUAAUUAAUUAACUAUAAUAAUAAUGAUAUGUUAAUUAUUGUGAUUAUUUAUUCAAGAACUACAAUUUUUAAUAAUUAUAGUUAAUAAUAUAUUUAUAUAUUAAUUAAUUAAUUAUAACAUUAUAUUAAUUAAUUAUAAAAUAUGACAAAAUUAGCAUUUUGGGAGGGUAAAAUGGUCAAUCUUAGGAAUGAGAAACUCAUUCCCACCUCCUCCAUGGGAAUCAAUCUCCCAUUCCCCAUUCUCCAUUCCUCAUUCUCAAAUAGUAGUAGACCCCAUCAUUUCGAUCCGAUUCUUGCUCCAUAUUUCUAAAGUAAACACAAUCAAUCAUUCUGAUUUUGAAUUUCGAUUCUUCAAUCCGUGAAGUAAACGUAUCACUAAUGUCUAAUACAACACAUGAAUUAUUUUAUUCUAUUUUAUUUUUUUCAAAAAGAUUUAAAGAGAGAGAAAAAUGAGACUCGGGACCCUAUUUCACUUCAUUAUUUUAUUUUUUUCAAACACCAUGAAAGAUUACGAGUACACAGUACAUGUACAGUAGCACGAACAAAAAGAAAAGGGUUAAAUCAAUUAAUCAAUCAUGAAAGAAGAAAAAAAAAAAAUUCCAGAGAGCACGUAGAUACGGACACAAAUAGAAGUCAGUUUCAUAGGGUAGAAGCCAAGCUAAGCCUAGAGCUAUAAUACUACAUGCAAAUUAAGCUAAUGUAUGCAUGUUUUCUGGCAGCAGAAACAGAAAAUGUCGCUGCCACUGGCUAGUAGCCAAAGUGGCGGUGAUAGUGGUGGGGUGCCACCAGUCGGCGCCUUGCCCUUGCCCUUUUUUGCUCAUCUUUUUUUUUUUUUUUUUUUUUUUUUUNNNNNNNNNNNNNNNNNNNNNNNNNNNNNNNNNNNNNNNNNNNNNNNNNNNNNNNNNNNNNNNNNNNNNNNNNNNNNNNNNNNNNNNNNNNNNNNNNNNNNNNNNNNNNNNNNNNNNNNNNNNNNNNNNNNNNNNNNNNNNNNNNNNNNNNNNNNNNNNNNNNNNNNNNNNNNNNNNNNNNNNNNNNNNNNNNNNNNNNNNNNNNNNNNNNNNNNNNNNNNNNNNNNNNNNNNNNNNNNNNNNNNNNNNNNNNNNNNNNNNNNNNNNNNNNNNNNNNNNNNNNNNNNNNNNNNNNNNNNNNNNNNNNNNNNNNNNNNNNNNNNNNNNNNNNNNNNNNNNNNNNNNNNNNNNNNNNNNNNNNNNNNNNNNNNNNNNNNNNNNNNNNNNNNNNNNNNNNNNNNNNNNNNNNNNNNNNNNNNNNNNNNNNNNNNNNNNNNNNNNNNNNNNNNNNNNNNNNNNNNNNNNNNNNNNNNNNNNNNNNNNNNNNNNNNNNNNNNNNNNNNNNNNNNNNNNNNNNNNNNNNNNNNNNNNNNNNNNNNCAUCUUUUUUUUUUUUUUUUUUUUUUUCCCGGAAAGUUUUUUUUAACACUCGGUUGCUUAUUCAGGAAAUGUCACAUUGAAAUUUUGAAACUUCCCCGAUCCAAUCAGUCAAGUGUCAUUUUUAUUGGUCCCAAUCAGUAGGGCACGGUCUCCAUUUCCAGCACUAAGCAUGCUUGGUGUUUGUGAUCAUUUGAUGGACGGUUCAUGCUUUGCUGCUAAGCCAAGCUAGUUGCAUUUUUCCACCCCCCGUAUAAUUUCAAUCAUACCAAAACACUUUUACAUCUAGUGUCAUUUCUUCAAUAAGUUUUUAAUUUUUGUUGAUAAGGACAUAUUUAAGGCUAGAGUUGAGAGGUUGUAUCGAUGAAUUUGCAGCAAAACCGUGAACAACUUUUGAGAAUUAUUGUAUAUAAAAAAGAUAAAUUUCAUUCUUUUUAAUUCAUGAUCACAAGUUCUCAAUUUGAUACAAGUACUUAAAAGCAUAAAAAUAAAAUAAUAUAAUUAACGUAAUUCAAGAAUAAUAAUUGAUUAGUAAAGAUUGAGUCUGUAAAUUUUUAUGUUGAUCGGCAAUCAAUCUUUCUUAAUCAAUAAUUAAGAUAAAAACAAUCAAUCAUCUUAUUUAUUAUUUUGUUUCCAUCAAUACUGUUUAAUUUUUAUCAUGUUAUUAGAUAUUUGGAGGAAAAGGGAAAAAGGGAAAAAAAAUCUAAUAACAAUCUUUGACAUUUUUUUCGCCUUAUGUCUUGUUGUUUUAAUUUUCUACUUUAAUUAGCAGCUAAUUGAUUGUCUCUGUAGUAAAUAAUUAUGAGAAAGUACAAUGCUUUUGUUUCAAAGUCUUGGAUCCAAAACAGAACGUCAAAAUCUCCCUUAUGUGGUCAGUCUUACUCUUAAAAUAAACCCACUUAUUUAUUUUGGUUUAGUUUCUUGAAUAUGCAAUCAAAAUUUAGUCCAUUUUAUAUACUGAUUUUGUUCUCAUUAGUGAAUCUUUAUUCUUCUUCUUUUGACUAAUAAAUUUCCCACUUACGACGACAGAUCGUGGUGUUGCUUGUAGAAUUUUAAGCCAAUGAACUUAUUUAAUUAAAGAACAAAUUCAAUUCAACUCAGCGAAGGGAUUAGGUGCAUAAAAAAAUUAUGACACUUCUGUUGAUAUUCUUCCAUUUAAAAAAAAAUAAUAUUCUUUUAUUUAAACAACGAUGGUUUAUUUUUCAAAUCAAUUAUUGCUAUGGAAACUUCCAUUCCCUAGUGUAUAGUUUACUUAUAUACAUUCUUUAUACAUCCUUGUCUUGUAAUUCAAACACAUCGUUUUGUUAAUUGUUAGCAUUUUCGAAAAGUUUGCUAUAUGUUAUGUUUAUUAUAGUGUGAAGGGGCGACCACGGUGGGUUUUGGAAAUUUGUGUCCAUGAAACCCUAAUAAAAAUUAAAGGAUAACAUAUAAAAAAAAAAAGAUAAUGUAAAAGAGGAUUAGUUACAACUUGACCUUAAUUUUGAAGUUCAUUUAGAGGGAAUCAAAUGAGCAAAAGCUUCGGUCUUCAUCUCAAUAAAACAUGAGAUGUGGACAAUGCUAUUAAGAAAUCAAAAUGAACUUUCCCUCCCAAUGAAUUAUGUGUACCAAUCAAAGUGUGUGCACAUGACUUUGUCUUGUUAAUUGAUUAAUUAUAAAGACACCUUUGAUUUUGUUAUGAUUGAUAACUACAUGCAUGAUUGAUUGAUAUUUUUCUAAAUAUCAAUCCAACGUAUGUGUUGAUCACCUCACUGCAAAAUUUUAUUUACUUAUCCAGGAAAAUAAAGUCCAUAGAUUUAAGGAUCAAUUUUCCUCAAACUAAUCUUAAUGAGGUUGAGAAAUAUUUAAUCUCAAUUUCAAUUAUUUCACAACGUAUUAUUUUUUAACUUCUCUAAUUUCAUAAUAUGAGAGUUAUUAUUUUUUUUUAUUAUUUAUAACAAAUUUUAGAGGUUUUUAUCAUUUUAUUGGGAUGUCAGAUUCAAGUGUCGUGAUUUUAUUUUUUAUUUUAUUUUAGUCAUUAUUUUAAUUUAUCCUCCAAAUAAAAUGAUAUUCUUCAAUUGACCUUUAAAAUAAUAUGAAAACUUCAAUUUACUCCUAUUUAUGAUGAAGAACAAAAAGAAGAAAAAAAAGUCAUCAAUGCACUCUCCAUUUAGGGAUGGUAAUUUUUCCCGAUAGGAUGGGAUCCUGCGGGAUCCCAUCCCAUUUGGGACGGAAUUUGGACAUAUUUUUGUCUCAUAAAAAAAUUUAGGGAUGGGAGUGAGAUAUUUUUUUAUUCCAAUUACAUAUGCGGGACGAGAGUGGGAUUGACAAAUUCUGUCCCAUUCCAUCUCAUUGCCGAUUAAAAAUGAAAAUUUUACCAAUUGGGAUGGGAUCCCGCAGGAUUCCAUCUCUUUUGGGACGGGAUUGAGAUAUAUUUUUGUCCCAAAAAAAAUAUAAGGACGGAACUAGGACAUUUUUUCAUCCCAUUGGCAUAUACGGGAUAGGUUUGGGAUUGGUAAAUCCCAUCCCAUCAUGUCCCAUUGCCAACCCUAUCUCCAUUUGCUAUCAUAUUCUGAACAAAUAAGGAGAUAAAUGAAAAUAUUCAUAUUUUUAUAGGGUAAAUUGAAGAUUAUUAGUAUAUUUGGGGAUGAAUUCAAGUUUACCUAAUAAAAAUAACUUGGGUUUGCUUUCAUCUUCAGACUAACCAUGAAUGAGUUAAUACUUGGUAGUCUUUAACGGAAAGCAUGAAAGCUAAAAGUUAAGAGAAUGAAAUUAUAUCUAAAAGAAUCGAGGAGAGGAAGAAGGAAAGUGGAAGAAAAAUUAACCAAAAAAAAAAAAAAGUUGAGAUGUCAUCUCAAGUAGAUAUUAAUAAUAGCAGCAUUAUUGACUUAUUGUGAAUUUGCUUCUACAUUUGGAGGCAAAUGGGUCAAGCCCAUUAAAACUGGACAAAUCAACAAACAUUCACUCAAUUCAGCAUCUUCUUAGAAAUUAGUAAAAAAAGAAAAAAAAAAAGACAAUAUAUUAAUACAGUAUACAAAUUUAUCUAGAGCCCUAUGAUGAGGUGUCCUAAACAUUAACUCUUAAUUAAAAUAUAUUCUGGCAAAAUUAUUUAUUCAUCGAGUCACUAACACCCAUUGUCUUAUUUUUUAAGUUUAGAGUUCUGAGUUUUUUUUUUUCGUAUUGUGGAUGUUGAUUUUUUUUAAAAGAUUACAAGUAGAUUUAGUCCAUCCCGAAUGUAAAUAUUUAGAUUUUUUAUAAUGGAGCUAACGAAAAAAGAUUUAGCAUAAUUCGAUUGGAAAUAAUUGUAUAUUAAUUGUAAUGUAAUUAAGAAAAAAAAACAAUUCUUUUUACUCAAACUUUUGUUGAUAAGAUAUGAACUAUGUAGACUUCACUUUAUAGUCUAGAAAGAGUUGGAUAUUUAAAAACUAAUCAGUGAUUUGCAAUGAUAGCUAGUUUGAUAGUGCAAUUUUAUAGUGGAAUUAAAGGAAUAGAUUCUAUGAUGGAACCCGUACCAAAAGGAAAGUAAGGGAGCUACCUACAAGUGACUUCUUUAAAGAGCUAUGCAUAAGCGUCCAAAUUUUAUUGGAUUUAUGUUUGGUCCUUUUCAGUUUUUAUUUUUUAUUUUUAAUUAGUCGUUGCAUUAUAAUCUAUGAAUUGAAAACACAUUGUUCGGUUGGUGCUUGGUUGGCACUUAAGAAAUUUUAAAUAAAAAGAGAUGGGAAGAAUGGUGCCAAAGCAAAGCACAAAUUAAAAAAAAAAUGAAUAAAAAAGGAGAGAAUCCCUAUGAAUUUGGCAUUAUAAACAAGAGGAAAAAGGUUAGGUACAACUUGUAUUUGGUCUUGGUCAUCAUCUUUAUUUAUUUAUUUAUAUAUUUAUUUUGAGAUGAUCAUAAUUAUUUAUGCAUAAAUCAAUAAAGCAUACCAAUAGGUAUCAUUAUUUUUAAAUCAAGUAUCCAUUCUUCAUUUUAUGUGCACAUGCAUUGCUGGGUUGGUGAUCAAUUGGAGAGUUUAGGCCCUAGUACUUGCGAUGGGUACGGUUUGAUUUGGGUUAUCUACUUGAGAUUUAAACUCAAACACCUCCUAGUGAAGCCGCCAAGUGGCUUUUAUAGUUUCUUUAUUUGUCUAAUCAUCUCAGUUACAAUCUUUAAAAAUAAUAAUAAUAAUAAGUUAAAAUUAUAUUUGGACUUUGUUCACACGUUUUCUAAUUUCUCGAGAUUCAAAUUUUUAACUUAAUUGAAAAGUAAAAGUGUAAUAUUUUUAUACAACAACUAAUCAAUUUAUAGUUCAUAGGCUUAUAACUCAAUUUGUACAGAAGAGUUUCUACAAUUAUUUGCAACUAUAUCAUUAAUUUUUUUAGAAAUUCGAUUUUAGGGGGCAAUUAAGGCUUAUUUGAAAUUACUUUUGGGAGGCUUAAAACUAAUUUUGAAAAGUUGAAUUUAAUCUUGAUAUUUAGUAAGAGAUUUUAGAAAUCACUUUUGAUAAAGUUACCCAUUCUGUUGCAAAAUUAAAAAAGCAGUGAAUGAGUAGUUUUUAAAAUUUGAUUUUGAGCAUCAGUUUUAUAUAUAAUAUAAUUUCAUAUAUAUUCUCAUAUAUAUUAUAAAAAUCUAAAUUUAUCUUUAUUAAUUUAGAAAUAAAUUCAUUAACUUCAAGAUAGUAUUAUUACUACUAGUUAUAUUGAGAUACCAAAAUAAAAAAUAAAAUUAAUAAUAUAAGACAUUUAUUUUAGUUAUCAAUUAUUAUAUAUUCAAAAUAAAAAAAAUAUUUUCUAUACAUAUUUAUAAAUGUGCUAAUAAAUUUUAUUGACAUUAUGUACAAUUCAAUUAUAUAUAUUAGGGGUGUUCGCGGAUCGGAUUUUACGGAUUAGACAUCAAUCCAUAUCUGAUCCAUGAUUUUGCGGAUUAUAAUUUUUCAAUCUAAUCCAAUCCACGGAUUGAUAAAAUUCAAUCCAAAUCCAAUCCAUACAUCUGCGGAUCGGAUGCGGAUUUGACUCAAUCCAUAUCCAAUCCAUACAUAUGUGGAUCGGAUGCGGAUUUGACUCAAUCUAUAUGCAAUCCACCAUUUUGCGCAUUAGUUUUCGAAUUAAAAAUUUUUAGUUCUCUCCAACUAAUGAAAUAAAAAAAUCUAAUAUAAAAAUAAUUUUGUUACCAAUUAAAUUUAAAAUUGAAUAAAAUUUAAAUAAAUUAAUUGUUUAAAUAAAGCUAAAAUAAUAUAUUUAAAGUUUCAAAAUAUAACACAUCGAGACUAAUUAUUCAAAUAAAGCUACAAUAAUACGUUCAUAGUUUCAAAAUAUAACACACCAAGCUUAAUUGUUCAAAUAAAGUUACAAUAAUACGUUAAUAUAACACCGAAAUUAAUUGUUCAAAUAAAGCCACAAUUAAUUGAAAUGGCGAAGUUUCGGAAACCAAACACAGUCUGAUCCUUCACCAAGACUGUUGCACCUGUCGAAAAGUGAUGAUUACAGAGCCAUCCACGAUGGGAACCAGGAGAAGCCAUUCGGGUGGCGAUCUUGAAGGUUGUGAUAGUGAAAUUGUUCAGCUAGAACCAGUAAAUGUGAAGUGGCUCGAUGGACUUGGGAAGAAGAUGGCUUGCUCUCGCUGGAAUCGCGUGGCCGAUAUCCUUUAAAUUCGUGUCGAGAGUGUAUCCUAUUAACAUGAAUAUUUCUUUAUUAUUGAUUUUGAUGAUAACAAACUUGAUUAAGAUAGAUUAAUCUUUAAACAGCUCAAAAUAGUUUUCAUAUACUUUUUCAUCAUUUUCACUUUAUAAAGGCUUUAUAUUCUAUGAAAAUGUUUUUGGCUAUUCUCAUAUUAAUGGUUUCAAUUGAAAAAGCUUUGAGAAUUUUGAUAAUAACAAGUAUUGCUCAAAAUCCUAGAAAUGUACCUUUUUGACAAAGUUUUAUAAAGUUUUAGGUCAUAGUAUAGUUUUAUAAAGUUUUGGGACCAAACUGUAAUUUUGCAAAAUAGAUCACUGUAGCAGUUACUGUAGAAAACGACGAUCCGACAUCUUGAUAACGGCUCGCCUACAUCAAGCAGAAUUGAAGAUUAGUCUCUGGACACUAACGGCGAUCCGACUUCUAGAAAACGGCGAUCUGAUAAUUUAAAAAUUCAGCCCAACGGUCAUAUUGACCAGUCAAACAGCGAUCCGACAGUGAGCAGAAAGUCAAUAACGGCUAGUUUUAAGCUCCAACUAUAAAUAAGCUCAUUCAAAUUCAAACAAGAUUAGAUCACAACACGACCAUUGAGCUUAUAUUCGAGAAUACAAUCUUCAUAGAGCUUUAAAACACAUUAUUGCUUCAUCUAUUCACACAUUGGACAUUGAUUUGUAAUCUUAAAUAUUGUGUGAGAGAAAAUUUGUAAUCUUUUACUUUGAGUGAUUGUAAGUGUUGGGAUACACUUGGGUUAAGAGAUUGGGGAUAAUCUCUUGUUGUAAAGGUUCAUUGACACCUUGGAAGUCAAGUGUAAGCAUUUGAAGCCUUGGAGGCUUGCUUAGUGAAAUCCUCAAGCCCGGAAAACUUGGAAGCGUGGACGUAGGCGAGGUUGGCCGAACCACGUAAAAAUCUUCGUGUUUGAAUCUCUUUUCCCUUAUCUUUUUAUAUUGUAAUUAAUUUAAUUGUUAUUCCAUUAAAUUCAUUUUAGAUUUGCAUGAUAAUUUGUUUUAGAAUCAAAUAAUUUUUAGAAUCCCAAUUCACCCCCUCUCUUGGGUUGCACACUUGUAUUUCAUAUCCAACCAGUAUUGAGUGUUGCUCGUGUAUGUGACAGCAGGGAGAUUAGGGUUUUUUGUUUGCAAAUUGUUGGUGACUUGAUGUUAUGUUACUUUGCUUUUGCUAGUGCGUGUGACUUUGCUUUUAUUUUGUUUUACAAUUUUUACAAGUUAUAUUUGGAUAUUUGAUUAUUUAAUUAUUUUUUAUUUUAUAUUAUUAUUGGGUAAUGGGUAAGACAUGUUAUAGUGCUUAGUAACUAUGCAAUGUCAUAUUUAUAAUUUUUUAAUUAAAUUUAUAAUAAUUUUUUAAUUAUAAUAUAUAUAUAUAUAUUUUGCGGAUUCACGAAUUUCUGCGGAUUUAUAGAAGUAAAUCCAUAUCCAAUCCAUCGACUGCGAAUUUUGAAAUUUUCAAUCCAUAUCCAAUCCACCAAUCCACGGAUCGGAUUUAUACGGAUCGGAUUCAGCGGAUCGGACGGAUUCAGCGGAUUGGAUUGGAUUCUGAACACCCCUAAUAUAUAUUCUUAACGUAGUUUAACAAUAAGAUUUACCAAAACACACACGAAUACUUUUAAAACUCAUGGUAUUUUUAAAAAAUGAAUUUUACUAAAUAUUUAACUUAUUUUUUUUCACAACUAAUUAUUUUUACAGUACAACUAAUAACAAUUAUCGUAAAGGUACAAUAUUACUAAAUUUGGCCCUAAGUGGCACCAAAAAGCAACUUACAUAUAAAGAAGAAAGCAGAUGGAACGGGAAAAACACUUUUUGUGGUUUUAUAGCUGACUAUUUUGAAAGAAAUUGAUCUUUAUAAAAUUUCUUAAAAUCUUGAUUAGUAAUGUUUUAUUGUGAUAUUCAUUUGUUAAAUCACGUAAAUGAUAAAAUAAUCUGAUGAGCGAUAGUACGUUCCAAAUGGGUGUCAUUUAUGUUGAAGAUCAACAUUAAAAAAUAUAAAACCAAAAGUAAAAACAAAGCGCUCUUAAAUUAUAAAAAGAGGACAAAAUUUUUAUCUUUUUAUUUUUUCCUUUUUUAUAGUGAUAAAGUAGGGAACAACAACAUUUUAGCAGAGAGGUUGAGGAAAGUGGAUUUUUAAUUUUCUAUUAUGAAUAUAAAGUAUUAAAAUGCAAAAACAAUAUUUCCUAUGCUAUAUGCAUUGGCAUGGACUUAUAAAUUUUGGGAGUAGUUCGAUUAGAGGUACCAAAAAAGGAAAAGCAUAUUGGAAUGGAAUGGGAAAGCCAUUUUUGUGGUUUUAAUGGCUGGCUAUCUUGAAAGUGACAUCCAUCAAAUUCAAAAGCGUGAGUAUUUUGUUUAACUCUUUAUCUUUUAAAAAUUAUUACCUUAAAUAGUAAUGUUGCUAAAUGUGAUACUCAUUUGAUUGUUUCACGUAAAUGAUACAAUAAUGUGAUAAGUGAUGUUACAUUUCAAAUGGGUAUUGGGCGUCAAAUUACGUAAGAUGUUGAUUUAGCUAUAAAUCAAAGUCUUAUAACUUAUUUCUCUGGUAAGAAAGUUAUGAUUGAUCUAUCUGGCAUCGCUUGAUAUGAUAUCAAGUUAAUUUUUUCAUAUUAUAGACAAAGAAGUGAAGAACCAACUCAUUUGUACAUAUAUUAUCCCUUCAUCAAGUUUAUUAUGUACUUCUAAAUUUUAUGGAUUAGACCAAAGUCAUUUACCAUACAUGAUUACAACCUGGUCAUGGUUUGAGCUCAAACUUGUAAAGAUCUUUCGUUAUGUAUUUAAAAACAGAACUGCUUUACUUCUUGUUAGAAGAUUCAACCCAAAUCACUUGAUAUUUUAAAAUAAAAUGUCUAAAUUCAUUCCAGGAGUAAGAAAUAUUAGUAGGGACUUGGUACUUGGAUCUAAGCAAAAUCCAACUUGCUCAAAAUGGUUGUUUUAUAAUUUAAAUGAAGAAGAAAUAAAAAUGAUUUUAAAAACUUGACUUUAAUACCAUGUUGAGCAAAUGGCCUUCCAAUGAUAUUUAUGUUAAAUGGAAACCAAAUUCAUAAUUUUGAAGUGUGUAUUCAUCAUUUAUGUCUAAACCCAACCAAACAAAAAAAAAAAAAACCCCAACAGGAAUAUAUGCAAGCACUCUGCUUCAACAAUAAAUCCAUGCAGGCACCCAAAAAUAAAAUUUAAAUUUUACUCAACAGUGCAAGCUAUAUAUAUGACUGAUGUGCUCAACAAAGAAUGAUGAUCUUGUAUGAUAGAAAUGUAUAAAAGUAAAAGAAAUUUUUUUUUUUCUUAAAUAUUGUUCCAUGGUAGGGAUUGGGGAUUUCUCCUUUGCUCUAUACUUCAAAAUCAAGAACUCUUAAACCAAAAUUUCACUGAUACAAGAGCUUUCCAUGAUGUUUAAGGAUAUGAAAAAUGUCACCAAUCUUUGUUGAUUUGUACUUGCAGUCCACUUCAAUCUGUGAAAUCGUGACUUCUAUUCCAACUUCUAGUUGAAUGAAUGUAUCCAUUCAAUUGUUCCUGCAAGGUCAGAUUCCAUUUGAAAUUCAGAAACACCACAUAUCAUGAAAAAUGCCGUACCCUUUAUGGCCAGUUACCUAAUUAAAUGGUGCCUAAAGUUCAGAAUUUUAACUCCGAAGCUGAAUAUUGUAUCGUAUAAGAAGAUUGAACCCAUAUUUUAGUCAAUAAUUAAAAGAAUCCGAUACCAUGGUCCGAGCUAAUGGUGAUUUGGACAAGAAUGCCAUUGUCACUACUUACAUUCGAGGUGAUUUUUCAUUUUAUCAGUAUAAACUACCAUGCAAAUUUUAUGGAACUUGAAUUGGAUAACGGCAAUGUUCUCCUGGUUUCAUUUAAAAAAAAAAAAUCAAAUGAAGCAUGUAUAGUAUGAAGUUUGUGUCUUACAGUCAAAAGUUGCCCAACGUGAAGGAGGUGCAAUAGUAUAUUCUUGUUGCACAUUGUUGACAUAAAGCAAAGUGUAAAGGUCAGUAGUCCCAUUUUUAUUGUUGGUGGGUACUUGUACUUCUGCCACCGAUGGUGGAACCCUGGGUGGAAUUGGAGCAGCAGCCUUCUCAUUCAUAUCAAGAGAACCCUGCAUAGAGAAUGUUCAUCUAGUUAACAAAGCAGCAAUGUUCAUAAAAGGAUACAAAACAUAUAAGCAAUACAUUGAGGGAAUAUCCAAUCAUGAUGAGCAGCUUCCUAGCACUUUGUCCUCGACUGACUUGCGACAACGAUGUAAUGAAGUUUCUUCACAUACCAUGAUGAAACAUCCAGCAAUUGCUUCAUUAGUGAAAAAAUAUAAACUAUUGGCAAGCAGAACCAUUGUCAUUACCCCACGAGACCUUCCAACUGUUGGAGGAGGAGCUAUUUGAGCAAUAUGUUUUGUAAGAAUUUCUUCCUCGAGAGAGAGUGUCCUUGUUUUUCUUGGAAUACCUCUUUUGAGACCUUCUAGAAACUUGCUAACGUUGUUGUUGAUUUGAACGGCUUUUGUAGUUGGUUGUGUUGCUCCCUUUUGAACCCAUUUUCUCUCCUCAUACCUAUAAAUUAACCCACAAAAUAUCAAUCAGAAGAAGAUGAUCAUACCCAAUCCUAUCUUCAAGUUCAUAUGGUAGAUAAUUUACUUGGUACGGAUAAAUUUCUCGAUCCUACUCCUGUCAAAAUUUGGUGGCAGUUCUGCUUCCCAGAACUUGUUCGACUUCUCAUUACCCAUAGCUAUCAACAAAUGAGCAAUUUGAAAAUAAGAUUACCAUGCAACAACUCCUUAAAUGGCCAACACACUUAAAGAAAUACUUUCAAAUACGAGUAGGCAAUGCUCAGUCAAAAUUUUCAAAUAGCAAGCAUCUUUCUUGGAUCAGAAGGUAAAAACCAAUCCAACAGUAUCUAUUCAAUUCUUUAAAAUAUGAUCUCCUACGUAGAUAACUAUUAGUCGUUAGAUGCAUGAAACCAUGCAUAUAUUGGCAGAUAACUGAUAUGGUUUGCUGCAUUUAUUCUGGAGAAUCUGCCAUUUCUUAAAAUAUACUCUUGUAUGGAUCAGAGGAGUUUGAUCAUGUUGUGUAAUAAGUUCUUUGUAUUUUCACUCACAUUAAAUCACUAGCAAAAUAUUCUUACACUGCAUAAAAGCAACCUGCUCCGGGAGCCACGUAUCCAAAGUAGUAGACCGGACCUAUUUCCAAAAUCACAAAAUCAGUAUUAGUGAUAACAGGAAAGAGAGUAUUGAACCCAAUAGAGUUGUAACUCAAACUGGUGGCAUAUCAAGGAACAAAUGGAAAAAUUUUGUGAGUAUAUUGAAUUAAAAAAACAUAUAAUACCCACAACUCCAUUUUUUUUGUACCUAAUUUACAUUUGCUGAAUGAAGCAAAUCAUGCGAAGAGGACCAAGAGUUACAUAAGCAAAUAAGAAACAGGGCUGACAAAGGAACUUUUGAUAAACAAGUAUUCUUAUGUGUUUAGUUCAUUGUUUGAAAUCCUUUUUCCAGUUACAACAAAGUAAAGUUUUACAGCCUAAAGUACAAAGAUAUUGGCAUACAGCCUGUACUUUGCUGAAAACAGCAGGGAGCUGGAAAAAUUGAAUACAUAACAGAUUGUGGAGUGCAAAGAAUAUUUUAAAUCCAUCUCAUCAUGGAUCAACGAUAGACAAUAUUUCAGGAAAGUGGCCAAAAAGUUGGAAGUCAAAACUAAUUAUAUAGGAACUCCAUUUUCGAUAACCAAGAAUCAAGUCUGUGCAGAGCUUACUCCUACACAUAGUGGAUAUGAACCUAAUGUUUCUAUCAUGUUCAGUUUAAUCCAAUGAAACUAAUAAAAGUUUGAUGACAAUGUUCUCAAGAUGAUAAUUGAAGGCAAUGCUAGAAGUAUUUAAUAAAAUUUGAUGCUAUGCAAAAAUAAAAUAAACAACAGUACACACGGUAUACCUUUGAAAUAUGCACUCCAAGACUCCGAUGGAUUCCUGAACACUGCAUGCAUAUAAAUAUUCCGAGGUUCACACUUGCCCAUCGUGGUGCCCUGAAAUGAAUACAUUUCUAUGAUAAAACACUACAAUAUCAGAUGAUUUCUUCUUUUAACCGAGUAUCUAACUGCUCAGAACAACAAAUUUAAAACUCAAACCAAAACUUCCAACUGUAAGCGUAUACUUGCACUGUAAAAAUGAAGAGCACAGUGUUAAUUAAGAGAUAGGUAAGAAAAUGAUAUUUUCAUGCCAACAAAAAUAACUUUGGAUCUAAUGAUCUCGGUAUAACGUGGAGUGAGAAAUUUUGAGUAGUGCUCUGUACAAGUAUUUUCCUUUUUCUCACUAUGGCUCCUCUUGUACUACCACAUAUACAUAACAGAGUCAGAACAGCUGAGAUGUGAUAUUUAGCAUCAAGGUGAAUAGACUUAGUUAACAGGGCAAUUGUAAUCCCAAACAAAGAGUGACAAAACAACAUUGCAGAUCCAACAAUUAAACGUUAUUAGCUGAAUUGAUACAAGAUAUUGGCCGGAAAGCAAUUAAAUGUUUCUCAGAUGUUCACCCCCAGUCUUAUGUUUCAGAGAAAUACUAACUUGUUUAAGACUAUACUAUGUAUAAGAGACAACAAAAGUCUGCAAAUCCAUCAUAACAUAAACAUCAGAAAUUAAGUACCCCCAAAGAUAAUACAGAUUAGCAACGGAGAAACUGUAAUAUUAUUGGAAAUAUCAGAAGAGGGUUUCUGAAAUGCAUACUUGCUCCCACAAUCCGCACAUUCCCUGUUUUCUGGUAGCUUAAGAAGUCCCUCUAAAAUCUGCAUAAAACAGUGACCAAACAAGGAUUAGUAUAGCUUAACUCCUCUUAGUACUCCCCCUUAUGUUCCCUUUUCCCCUUUAAUAGGUAGUUAUAACCAAGUUAAGAAUGUGUGCGGAAAGCCACAGUUCAACGGCACGCGGGGUAUCAAAUAUUGUCCAGUUUCUAUCUCAUCUUGCAAUAUUUAUAGACCGAUAAUGGCUUAGCAAAUGCUAUAGGGUAUCUAAAUAUUGGAUGAAUCAUCAAACCAAUAUACAUUUGCAUAACUUUUAGUUAACUGCAUAAUGCAAAAAUUUAAGCUUAUUUUUCAAGCCCCUUUUAAAAUAUUUUGAGGUGUUUCCCAAAUAUUGCAAUUUUUCAUAUGGUUGUACAAGCAGCACUUGCAAUCAAAAGGACGUUUCAUGCCAUAUAUGAGUUAUGGGGUUUCAGCAAAACCAAAAUCAAUUGCAAAGAUUUAUUCUUAAUUAAUCAAUGGAAAUUGCAUUUGGGUUCACAGCAAAUAUCUAAAACAAUUAAAAAAGAAAAAAAAAAAAGAAAAUUCAGCAAAGACUACGAUUGAAUCAGACCUUGGAAUGCUUGGCAUCGAGCUCUUUGGAAACGGAGGCCUUGCCGUUGCCGUUCAUCUUAGCCUCCGAUGCCCAAGCUUCCAAUUUGAAAUGAAAAAUAAAAAAUGAAAAUAAAAAUUAAGAAAAAAAUCUGAAAUUGAUAAUCAGAUGGAAACAGGAGGAGGGUCGCAACUCUCUCUGUCUAUUUGUAGUUUUAUGUGGCGGAACUGAUUCAAAGGAAAUGAGAAAAAAAAAUUUAAAAAAAUAAAAAAACCGUUAAAAUAAAGCUAAAAUUAGGCGGGGUAUUUAUUUUGUUUUGUAUGUAUUUAUAUUCCUCUCAGGUCACGCGACACCUCAUCAACUUACCCUCUUUCUUUUUGUUUGUUAUUAGUUAUUGUUGUUAUAUUCUGGCGGGAAAUUCCAACUGAAUGCUUCAAUCUUACCAUAGUUUUUAUUUUUAUAAAUUUUAAAUUAGUCCUUAUAUUUGAAUUAUUCUCUUAAUUUUCAGAAUUGAAUCGCAAGUAACCUCUUUUUUGUUAAAAAAAAAAAAUAAAGAGAAAAAUAAGAAUUAGUUGAUAAUUUUUUUGAUUUUCUUAAUAAAAAUAGGAGGUAAAUUAAUAUUUUAAAAAAUAAGAGAAGUAAUUAAAAGAUAGUCAAUUUUUUUUUUGAAUUACAUGAGACUAUUACUCAAAUUACAUCAGAUUACAUGAGAUUAGUACACUGAUAUUUAUAAUAAGAUAAUUAUUGGGACUAAUUUACAAAUCUUAUAUAACACAGCCCAUAUUUUUACAUCCUCUCUAAAAUUCGAGGGACGUCCACUCACAUUUUUAAAGGGAGAAAACUGCCUUCACUCAAAUUGAAAAAGGAAAAUAAACCCCCAUAAUUUGUUGCGGGAACUCGAACCCAUGACCUCAUAAUUGUGAGGUAUGAGUUCUAACCACUAAGAUAAAGCUUAGUGGUUCAAAGAUUGACAAUUUAUGAGAGAAUAAUUCGAAAUUAAUCCUUUUAUUUUUCAUUUUAUUUUUAUAUAAUCCGCUGCCUGCCAGAGUGCCAGUCAUUUCUUCCACCUUUUCUACAUUCAAAUCUCAUCAUUGCACCAACUGAUUUGGGGAGGUGGAGGAGGAGGGGGAGGAGGAGGAUAUCUGUCAGUGGCGACAAGUUCUUGAGGAUAUUAAUAAUUAAUUUCACCAUAUACAUGUCUGUAAAACUGUAAAUUCUUUCUUAAAUGCCACUACUUAAAUUAUCUUGGGAGCAUAUGCACAUGAAUGGGAAGGCCAUCAUCGUGACAACAUAUGAAUGAUUAUUUGAUUAGGGCACGAGAUUACAUCUAUUCCGUGAUUCAACAAGCAUAAGCCUGUGAAUAUAAGCCAGGGGCCAAAUCUAGCUAUAUCUGAAACUAGAAACUAACAUAUAUGAUACACUUGCAGAGAAAAGUAAGACAUUGAGAUGCAAGCAGACCUGCAUAACAUUCUUCGAUUGAAAAAAAAAAAAAAAUUCCUGCCAAAGUUCAGUUUAUUGUCAAUAAACAAAGGCGAUGACAGAGACAAUAUCAGUGAGAAGAUGCAGGCAUUAUUUACCCAUCUGUUUGUCAGAUUUAGGCUUUGGCAAUGUUGGUGGAGUCAGAAGCCAUCUCCAGGAAUCGGCAUGCUGUAAAAUUGGAAAAUCAUUAGUUGCCUGCUCCAUGAAGCAGGCAGGCAUUCGUGAUUGUUAAAAAGUUUUCAAGUGGUAUAAAAAGAUUUAUUUCUUCAAAAGCUUAUUCUGGAUCUAAACAUCUGUGGAUAAACUCAAAAAAGUAUUCAUGAAUCACAACUCCUGAAUUAUAUAAUUCCAAAUCGAAUACUCAAGUAACCCACAAGUAAUGACCACUCAGAUCUUCAAAAGUCAUCUGGAAGUUGCACGACUGUAACAAGUGUCAAAUACCAAUAGAAGUAUGGAGAAAGAAAGUGAAUAUGCCAAAUCAGAGUUCGUGCACCCAUCAUGAUGGAACCAUGCUUUUUGCUGCCAAAUGCAUUAUCAAUAAGCCAUUUAAUUAUAUAACAAGGCAAUCCCUAAGUUACGUCAAACGUAACUUACAACCAGCCAAUUUCAUGCAUUGGAGUGAAAUCCAAUGGUUGAGAAACUGAAUUAGGGUCUAAGUUAUAUAAAUGAAUUUUAGCAAGACUCAUAUAACAAAGAGUAAUGAUACAGCCACAAACUCUUGUACAAACUUAUUUUGUACAAACUGACAUGGCAUUAAUUCAUUGGUUGAAUGAAAAUAUAAAUUAAUAAAAACAAAUCAUGUAGGCCAAGUGGUAUUUAAUUCAACCAAUCUUAUCAUGCCACAUCAGUUUGUACAAAAUAAGUUUGUACAAGAGUUUGUGGCUGUAUCAUUACUCUAUAACAAAAGCAACUGAGAAACUUAUUUCCAUAACCGAAUAUACUCUGACUUAUUUCAGAAUCAAAGUGAUGUUUGGCACAUCAAUAACACAAGCAGAUCAAAUCAAUCUAUCAUGAUAAAACAGGUCUCCCAAAAAAAUUGAUUUUCGAAAAAAAUUAUCAUCAUACACAUGUAUUGUUAAUGACUUAGAAGGAAAAACAAGGUGAAGUCGAGUAAUAAAACAAAGGCCAAGAACAUCAUCAAUAGCAAGAUCGGAUUUGAUUCAAGUUGAGGCACAUAAAGAGGGAGAGGGAAAUUUCAACCAAUGUAGAGACAUGAUUGAUUGCUCGCAAUUUUGAACAAAAUGGCCUCGGACUAGUUGAAUAGUAAUCUGGGUCAUCAACAUAUACCCUCUCUCAAGCCACAUGAAUUGAAGGUUAUGUUCACUUAGAAUAAACAUUUGUAAGUGUAGUAUGAAGAACAACAAAAAUACAUCUUGAAUAUAUAACCUCAGCCAAACAAUUAAGCAUUAGUCAUAAGAAGCAAUCUCUGCCAUUCAGCUCAUGUACAUGUGAUCACUAACAGUAAACCAUAGGCCACCAUUACGUACAAUUUCCCACAGAAUCGAAGCAAAGUCAUUUACACAUUUGUCUUGCUCUGCUGUUUUAUUAUUCUUCCCCUGGAAUGAAAGAGGAAAAUCACCUUCAUCUUUUGCUUAAUUAGCCUCCAAUUUGAAUCAAAUCACUUGUGCUUACUACAUAAUGCAUUGCCCUUAAAGAAAUUCACCCCAACAACCUAGGCUAAAAUACCAUCUGAAUAACCCCAACUACUGGAAAAUAAUUAUCAGACUAAAAAUACACUUGCCACUAUGAUUUCAAAGAGUACAAAUAAAUAUAUCAAUAGGAAGACAACAAGCAGUUCCCAAACUGCAAUUUUACAAAACACUCAUGUGCUUCACGGAUAUUGCAUAAUUUUAGCCACAAAAACUAAAAUAAAAGCCAAAACUUCCUCACAAGAUCCUUGAUUGAAAAAAAAAAAGAAUGAUACUUAAAUUAAAUGGAAACAACCAAUCAAAGCUUAUAGUCGAUAACAGUGUGAAAGAAAGUGUCUGAUUUUUUUUUUUUAAAUAAUGAUAACAGAAUAAGCUCAUUUCCACAAUUUCAUUGAAGCUAUCUGACAAGUAACAAACAGCUAAUCACUUAAAUUAAGACAACAAAUAACCAAUUAUGCAAACGUAAAAGCUGAUAAUAAAAGCCCAAUUUUCAAGUUCAGCUAAAUAAUCACUACUUAUAAAUAGCUAAAAUUUUAAAAAUACAAUUAAUAAAUAAAAAAAAACUACUUGAGGGCAGCUUCUUGAGGGGUUUUUGCGACGAUAGAGAGGGCGUGCAAUCCGGAGUUGAGUUCAUCAGAUAAAACCUGAUAGACCAUUCUGUGGCGGUUGACGAGGUUCUUCCCUUCGAAUUUCGGCGACACGAUCUUCAAGUCGAAAUGAGUUUCCCCGGAAUUCGAAUCCUUCACGGCGGCGUGGCCCGCGUGCUUGUGCGACACGUCGUCGAUUUCUAGUACGGUCGCUUCUAACGCCGAUCUCAACUUCGUUUCCAUUCUCAUUGCCCUCGUUAUCACUGCGUUCGCUCCUCGCGAAGCCAUUUCGAUGCUGAUUCUGAUUCCCAAACCCUGAAUCACAAAUUUGGGUGAGACUUGAUGAAGAACUUGAGAGUGACUAAUAAAAUAAACAAUAAAAUCAACCAAUUCUUAGCUUGAAAUUUUAUCCACCCGACGUCGUUUCAAUGAAGCUUGGAAAACAAAAUUAAAACUAAAAAUUUAGAAAACGAUGAGAAAGAAAAAGGGGCCCGC